GGAUGGUGGUCUUGGAGGUGGUGUGCGGGAAGAGGUCAAAGGGGAUCACAGAAGAGGACAACUUGGUGGAUUAUGUAUGGAGUCUCUAUGGUGAAGGCUUGAUCCUGGAGUGUGUGGAUGAGCAAAUGGAAGGCCAAUUUGACAAGGAGCAAGUGGAGAGGGCACUAAUAGUGGCCCUUGCUUGCUUGCACCCCUACUCUGCGUGCAGGCCGAGGAUGCGAAAGGUGGUCCAGAUUUUCCUGAACCCGGACGAGUCGCUGAUGGAGUUGCCCAAGUCUCGGCCCAACAUGGCCUUUGUGCCGGUCUCAUUCUCAGGCUUGACCACCGUCGGCUACUCCUCCACCUACAAGACCAAUUCCACCUUCACUCACUCACAGCUCAGUUCACCCCCAGAGAUAGAACUCAAUCAUGAACAAGGGAUGCCAGGAUUGCGUUAAUGGUCUCGAGAAUUAAAGAUCAUAUUAGAAUAUUUCACGUGAUUCAUAUCUGAGUUAUACAAGAAUAAGUUUUACUUUGUAUUAUGUUAUGAUGUAGUGCAGAAUGGAUACUCUUUGAAGCUAGCUAUACUGUAUUUACAUACCUCUAUGAAUGUUACGUUCUUAUGUAAAAUUGAGUUGAAGUGUUUCAAGUCAUGCCACCUCAUUGCAGGAGUUACAUGGAGCCAUCGAAGAAGAAGACCCACUUAAAUUAGGAACAAUUUACAUAUGUCGAUUCAUAUAUUUAUGAAUUUCAAGACUCACGACUCAGUUUACCACCAGAGAUAGAGCUCAAUCAUGACUAGGGGAUGUCGGGGUUGCGUUAAUGGUCUUGAGAAUUAAAGAACGUAUCAGAAAAUUUCACGUGAUUCAUAUCCGAGUCAUACGGAAAUGAGUUUUACUUAGUAUUAUGCUAUGAUGUAGCGCAAAAUGGAUGUUAUUUGAAGCCUGUGUUGUAUAUACAUUCCUCUGUGAAUAUUAUGUUCUUAUAUGAAAUCAAGCUAGAGUGGUCCAAGUCAUGCUUGCCGCCUCAUUGCAGGAGUUACAUGGAGCAUAUGAAGAAGAAGGCCCACUUAAAUCAAGAAUGAUUUACAUAUGUUGAUUUGUAUAUUUAUGAAUUUUAAGGUCAAAUUAAUCCAAUGAAAGAAAAAAUAAUGUGUAAAAUGAAAGAGAAGUAUUUCACUCGCUCAUGGCAUAGUUCACCAUAGGAGAUAGAACUCGAUCAUGAACAGGGGAUGUUAGGAUUGCGUUAAUGGUCUUGGAAAUUAAAGAUCAUAUCGGAAAAUUCCAUGCGAUUCACAUCUAAGUCAUAUAGGAAUGAGUAUUACUCUAUAUUAUGCUACGAUGUGAUGCAAAAUGGAUACUCUUUAAAGCUAGCUGUGCUGUAUUUACAUUCCUCUGUGAAUAUUACAUUCUUAUGUGAAAUCAAGCUAGAUAGGUUCAAGUCAUAACGUCUCAUUGCAAGAGUUAAAUGAAGCAUAUGAAGAAGAAGACCCACUUAAAUCAAGAAUGAUUUACAUAUGUCGAUUAGUAUAUUUAUGAAUUUCAAGGCUCAAAUUAAUCUAAUGAAAGAAAAAUAAUGUGUAAAAUGAAAGAGAAGCAUUUUUAGCGAGAGAGAGAGAGCUUGGUUUUGUAGCUACAGGGAAGUUACAUAUGUCGAUUCGUAUGUUUAUGUAUUUCCAGGCUCAAAUUAAUCUAAUGAAAGAAAAAUAAUGUGUAAAAUGAAAUAGAAGCGUUUUUGGUGAGAGAGAGAGCUUGGCUUUGCAGUUAUAGGGCAGUUACAUAUGUCGAUUCGUAUAUUUAUGAAUUUCAAGGCUCAAAUUAAUCUAAUGAAAGAAAAAUAAUGUGUAAAAUGAAAGAGAAGCGUUUCUGGCGAGAGAGAGAGAGAGAGCUUGGUUUUGUAGCUACAGGGAAGUCCCACAAAAAAAAUAGAAGGCAAAUUGACGUGCGUUUGCCAGGAGUCGAAAUCUUUGCUUUCAACAGUCGCUGCACAAAGGCCUAUAUUAUCAUUCUACCAAUUUUUGGCAUGCAAGGAAUAAGACCAACUCCUCUUGGGGAUGGAAAAGUUUACUGUUAGGUCGAGAUACAAUUCUUCCUUUGGAGAUGGUCAGCAAAUAAAUAUUCGAGAUGAUAAAUGGCUUACCUCAGGCAUAAUAGGUGGACCAGCCCCUCGAGCAGAAUCUAAACUGGUUGCUGGUUUCAUAAUCCCUCCUGCUCAGGUUUGGAAUAUCUCUCUUCUCCAACAGCACUUUGACCAGCAUAUAGUUGAGGAGAUACUUACUAUCCCAUUAAGUCGUGCUCCUUCAGCUGAUCAUCUUAUCUGGACAGGAACACAAUCAGGUCAGUAUUAAGUUAAAUUGGCCUACAACUUCCUCAGACAAUUAGCCUACCCUUCGAACCCCGAUCUUCCCUCAUCCUCUUAUCAGCCAUCAGCCCAUCUCUGGCGAUCUAUCUGGCAUCUCAACACCCCUCCUAGGAUUAAAGUUUUUAUUUGGUCAUUGUGUCAUAAUGCUCUCCCUACCAAAUUUAAUCUCUUUCGAAGACACAUCUUACCAGACCCUCUCUGUCAACUCUGUUCUAUGCACACCCCUGAAACUACCGAACACAUUCUGUUAUUUUGCCCAUGGACAUCAAAGAUUUGGUCUCAUCAAAGAGUACAACUUUCUCAUUCAGCCUACAAUAGAAAUCGAAUGGAUGCGUGGCUUGAGGAAGUUUUUGAAAGUUAGGCAGGUUUACCUUCCAAAGAGAUCGUUGCUUCCAUCCUCUGGCAUAUAUGGAAGGCGCGCAAUCAUUUUAUUUUUCGGCAGCAGCGAACAGCUCCUGAUCAACUUGUAGAUAUGGCCCUCGCAGACACAACGCUAUACCGAAACUCACUGCAGCAAUCGGCCAUUCCGGACUCUGCUAUGCUCAACCCUAAUCCGCUUUGGACUCCACCGGACCAAGGCAGUUUUAAGGCGAAUAUUGAUGGGGCUUUUAACCACGAUACCCACACUGGUGCAAUCGCAUGUGUCCUCAGGGAUUACACUGGUAUUUUGAUCGGCGGAUGCAGCAGUUCUGUUCGUGCGUCUUCAGCCCUGCAAUGCGAAGCUCAAGCCUUAAUUUCCACUCUCACUUAUUUGCUAGAAUAGGGUAAGGAAGAAGAUCAUCUCAUCAUCGAAUCUGACUGCCUAACCCUUGUGGAAACCCUCAAUGAUCGCUGUUCGUCACCAUGGGAGAUUCGAGCUUUUGUUGCAGAUGCUUCUCUGCUGCGUCUCUCCUUUCCUCGCUUGCGGAUUCAACACUACCAAAGGGAAGCUAAUGCUGCAGCUGAUUGGGCCGCUAAGGCCCAAGCACGCAAUUCUCUCUCACUUUCUUGGCCCAACUUUCCUCCUGCACCGUUAACGACUUUGCUAUGUAUUGACGCCCUAUCUGCGGGUUGUAAUUUUCGUCCUCCUUGAAUACUAAUAUCAUCGUUUCUGUCAAAAAAAAAAAAAAAACAGUCGCUGCACGGCUAACGAACCAUUGGGUGGAUUAGGCUUGAGCAUCGUGGUUGAGAUAAAAGCAGCAGCAAACAUAUAAUGAAUGCAGGUGAGCAUAUAGGGCCACACCUGUGCCAACUGACAUCACAUGAAUGGGUUGGUCCGUCUUCACCCAAUCAAGAACAAGUUGAAAAGCCGAGAUUCUUAGGUUAGCCUCGGGUACUCCACAUUGGAUUGCCGGUGACAAGCGGUGAACACUUUUUUCGCGACCGCAUAAGUAGUUCGCCAACUCUACAUUUAAGUAAGGUAGGAGGGCUUAUUCAGUGGACGGGCCUUGGCCUGCGCCUAACCCUGUUGUGGAGUGUGAGUUUUGACUCCAAGGAUCAAAUGUAGCACACCCAAUCCUAAAUCAUAUAAUGAACUUUACGCAUCACCGACGUUUAGGAGAAAUAGAUAUACUUCAUAUCCCGAAUGGUAUUAAAGUUGAUGUUUGGGCCAUACUAUCUCACAUCCCUUUUUACUUGAAAACACACCUUUUGGGGUCUUUUUAUAAAUAUAUUCGUGUUGUUUACUUUGACCUUUUUGGUAGAAAUAGAACCAUAACAUCUAUAUAAACAAAAGUACAUGAAGAAAGAGCUCUCCAAGCAAGGUUGUCGGCAAUGCUACUGCUGUAAAAAUGGAGAGGGCUAGAAUUAUAGACUUAGUUCGCAGAAUUAUUAAAAAGAAUGUUGUUAGGUGAUUGGACAUUACUAAGUAAACCAUUCUUAUUAAUAUCUUUAGCCAGCGGUGCGCUAUAUGCAAUUUGAUUAAUUAGAUAGUGAUGUGGUACUUCUAUUCAUAUAUUAAUAGUCACAUAAGCAAAGGUAGUAAGGACGAUUAAAGUCUAAAAAGUGCGUGAUUGCGAGCAGCUAGUCAAAUAAUAAUUGGAAUUAUUAACUUAUGUAAAAAAAAGAAGAAGAUAAAAAGUAGAAAUGCACAAAAUGAUAAUUGAGAUGAACUAUAUAAUACUAUAUUAAAAAGCAAAAAUACUGCAUACCCUCCUUAUUUUUCAUUCUAUUACCACUUUUCUCUCCUUUAGUUUUAAAAAUACAUUCUGCAUCUUAAGACAAACCAGAUUAUCUAAAGAACCAUAUUACCAUCCCUUAUAGAGAAAAAAAAAAAUCCCUCUUAGGGGUGAGCAUAUAGAAUAACCCGAAUUGGAAUCGUUUGAACCGAACCAAUCCAGCCAAUUUUGGGCAGUUCUAGAGGGCGUUGAUUCAGUUCUUGAUUCCAUAAAAUUGAAAUUGGUGAUCUUCAAUCUGGUUCUCGGUUCCAAGGAGAGAACCGGAUUGACGACACAGGACCAAUUUAAAUAUAUUUUUUCAUUUUUUAAAAAGUAAAGUGUAAACCCAAACUCUAAUACCCUCUCACACCUAGCUUAUUCCAAAUGAUGAAGUAAAUCUUUGUUUCUUUCAUACUAUUGCAUUGGUUCAUCCAAGUUGCUCCUUUUGUUUCUUGCUUCUUUCUUUGUUUUACCUUUUCUUCUUUUCCUACAAAUAUUCACCGAUUUUACCUCCCUUGCUUACUUGUACUUCAUGAGUCCAUCAUUUAUAAAAAAAAGAAUCCACCGAAUCCUCCUUCUUUUUUCAAGCACGCCCCCAUAAGCAUGGCCCCAUCAUCUCUCAAUAUUCUUCGCAAAUUUUGGAUGAAAUCCCAAAUUUGAAUUGUGACAUGGCUUGGGAAUUCAAUUAAUUAAAAACUUUUGACCAAGAUAUGGAAUCCAUCGAUUCUAUUGGAUUGCUUGAGAAAGAAAUUGGUUUGGUCUAGUCCCAAGACCAAUCAUCCGCUUCUCGAUUCCUAGUUCCUGAAUAAAGCUGAAUCAGAUCACGAACCGAUCAUCCCUAAUUCCCCUAACUCUAUGAUGCAAACUUGCAUUUCAAGAGACUAUUAAUACAAAGUGAUAAUGACUUGAAAAGUAGCACAAUAUUUGUUAUUUUUCUUAAAGAUAAGGCUAUGUUUGACAAUUAGGAUAAAAUUCAUAAUAGGAUAAUAUCAUAUCUCACGUUUGGUGUUGCUUAGGAUGAGAUAAAGUCGGAUAUAAGAAACAUAUAGCCCUAAUAAAAUUAUCAUAUGGGGAGGUAGGAUAAAGAUGGAUAAGAUUUUUAAUAUUUGUGAUAGGAAAUUAUUUUUCUCGAAUAAUUUUUUUUAAAUUAAUAAAAUUAAAAAUAUAUGUAAAUAUAAAUAAUAUUUGAAUUCUAAUAUACAAAAUUCAAAAUAACAAAAAAUAAAAAAAUAUUUUUAAAAUUUAAUCUUAUUAUUAUUUAUAAAUUCGAAUUUAAUUUUUUUUCUUAUAAUAUAAAUCCAAUGUUAGAUAUAACUUUAGGUAUUUUAGUAUUUUAGAUAUAUUAGUAUAAUUUACUAUUCAAUAAGAUUUUAUUAGAGAAUGAUGGAAGGGGAAAAAGAAAUAUAAAUGAAAGUAAUUUUAAAAAAAAAAGAUAGGAAAAAUUACAAAAAGCAAAUAAAAAUAAAGUAGGUAAAAAUUUCACAAGAGAUUUUUACUAUCUCCAUUUGUGAACUUUUACAUUCAUUUACACUAAUAUGCUAUUUAUAUAAAAAAUAUAUGAUAUAAUAUGAAUAUAUUCAACUUUAUUAUUGCAAUUUACCAAAUAAUGGACAGGAUAUCGCAAAAUCCCCAAAUUUCAUGCCUUAACCUAUCAAGUCUAAUUUUGGUUAUAAAUCUAGACAAUCAAAUAUAGCCUAAGUACAUUGAAAGUUCUUGUUAAGAAAGUACAAUCGAGUUUUAAAACUUUCAAAAAGUGCAAUUAAGUUCUAAAACUUAUCAACUAAGUGUAAUCUAAGUCUUUCAUUAACUUCAUCCAACAUGAUUAACGAAAAAGAUUAGCGUGACCUUUUUUUUUUUAUAAUUAUUUUCUCUCUCACACAUAGCAUUGAUGUGGCUAAAAUAUGAAACAUAAAACUAAGACGACCCAUUGGCUUAGAUCCAACGACCAUCACUAGUCAUUGCAGACCCUUUCGAUGAUAGUGAGGUAGUCGCUUGGUUUUUGUUUAUAUAUAUAUAUAUAUUUUUUUUGUGUUCAUUUUUUAAAAUAAAAAAAGAUUUGAAGCAAAAUGACAUUGUUACGUUUCAUGUUUUAGCUAUGUCAACAUCAUGUGAGAGAGAAAAUAUGAAAAAUAAAUAAAUCACCUCACCGUUUUUUGAUAGUCAAAUUGGAUGGAAUGAAUAAAAUGACUUGAUUGCAUUUUUUUUAUUAAAAAAAAAAAUUUAAGUGAACUUAUCUCUAUUUAUCAUUAAGAAAGUCUGUAUCUUAUUGGACUACUUCAAAAACCGCAAACUACUAAGAACUGGCGCUCAAAGAUUCAUUAUAUUUCUUUAGAACUUUCAAUUGACAGUUCUAGAGGAGAGAGUUAUGAUCAAGUAAACAACUAAUAUGCUGUAAAGAUGGCUCGCAAGAAAGGAGAUGAAAAGUACUUGCCCCACGCUGAAGAGGUCAAUUGCACAAUGCAAUGAAACAAUUCAUUUUCAAACGUGCAAGGACGCCCACGCAUUAUGCUUUGAAUAGGAGAAGAGAAGAACCACAUUGUGUUCUUUUGGGCUCAUAUGCAUUACCCGCAUCCAAUUAAAUCAAAAGGCCUUCUUAGCUUGUCAUUGAAUAGAUUUCUGUCCCUAUAUCUCCAUGUUUUCGCGAGACAAGAGACUGCAUCUCCUUCCAAUCAUUGGUAGUCAAUUCUUCGGGGCAAGAAAGAAACAAACCCUAAAAUCCGAAUACAGCCAAGAACAAGAAUUCACUUCUUUCCCAUCCCGCCAAUCCACAGCCCUCGUAACUUCGACUGGAUCCCCAUCUCGAAUUCAUGUCACGACCCAAGAAAACAAAUUAGGAAGCAAACCUGCGAACCGUUCUAUAUAUGCGCCAACAAUGCCUCUGUUAGAUGUAUGCCCUAAAGCUGUUAUGUAAUAGUUAAAUAGUUACAUAUUAGGGAUUUCAAUUAUACAUAUAAAAUUAUGUUCUUUUUAUUUUUAAAAAGAGAAUUGAUUAAUUAAUUAAUUAUUCAUUUACUUAAUUAAUUAAUUAAUUAACUAAUUAAAAAAUUAAAUUAAAGCUUCAUGCAUGUGCACGAAUUCGUGCACAUGCACGAAGCGUAAUGGUUAGCGGUUGCUGACCAUUAUGCACGAAGCAUGGAUGGUCAGCAACCGCUGACCAUCAUGCCAAGAUCGUGCAUGAGCAGUUGCUCAUGCACGAUCGUCUGCUAUGGACGAUCAGCAACGGUUGCUGAUCGAUGGACGAUCAGCAACCGUUGCUGGUCGGUUUUAUUAUAAAAGCAAUUGAGGGACGAGAGUUAAAGUGCUGCUGAAAAAUAAAAAGGAGACUUCAAGUGUUUUGUCUUCUUGUUCCGGAUCAGCUCUUCACCAUGAACAAAAAUUUGAAGUUCUGCUAGUUGCUGAAUAUUGAGUAAAAGUGUGCGUGUUCUUGUGUCUACGAGACACGAGGAAGAAAAACAAUUCUCUCGUUCGGGCCGUGACUAUUAUACAUCAAGAAUACAACGGAUUGUUUCCACGUGAUUGCUAGCAAGAUCGAAGUGGUGAAUAUCCGAAAGUUCUCUCUUCUGUUCGACGUUCGUUGUUGGUGUGUCUGAACUAGAGGUCCGACACUUGUGGGACUCGAACUGUGGAACAUCCAAACCGACUCGUUUCAAAGCGCGCUUCGAGAGGUAUUUCAUUUAACUCCCUUUUAUGUUUAGAUUUUUGAUUAAAACGCACGAACAACGCCUUAGGAGAAUCAUGUGUAAUAUAUAUCUUUAUUUCCGCUGCGUUCAUUUCGUUAAUUUCUCUUAUACAUGAUUCUUGAAACCCCAACAGUGGUAUCAGAGCCAACCUUAGGCAUUUUUCGUGCGUUUAAUUGAUUUGUAGUUCAAAUAUAUUUUUGCGUUCUAAUGGCCAAUUUAUUUUUGUUAAGAGAAUUGGUUCUCUUACUCUUAUGUGGCCUAUAGAAGUUGAUUAAUUUAUGUGAUAAAUUUAAUCAACUAAGCAAAAAUUAGAACUAAAUCAAUUUUGAAUAAAAAAUCCAUAACUUGUUAUAUUUUGUGUUUAUAUUCUACAAAUGAUAUGCAGAAUUUUAUGCAUGCCUUCCAGAGCUUUAAAUUUUGAAUUUAUGGCUCGUAAGGAAGGGUGGUGAUCAUGGAAAAAUCCCUAAUUGUUGUAUGGAUGAAUGUAUGAUGAUUACAUGUAUUCUUUUUGGGGAUGUAAUUAUUAAAUGGAGGCUACGUCCUUCCUUUUAUAUUUAUUUUUAUGAAAUGUAAUUUUAGUAUAGUUUAGUAUUUCAAUUAUUGAUGUAAAUACUACAAGAGAGGAGGAGCCAUUGGAGGAGCCAUUAAACUGGUGAGCUCUCUGGGCCCGGUCUUUGAAGAGUUCAAAGAUUGAAGAAAAAGUGAAGAGCAGGUCCAUAUUAUUAAAACAUUAAAAUGGCUAAAUGGGUCUCUUUGGCUCGAGACCCAUUGAACCAUAAUUCCAUGAUCACCACAUAGGAUAGAUGUUUAUGUGAUAUCUAUUUAUUUAUUGUGUUUAUGGUAUCGUGCAUGUUAAACCGGUUAAUGUGCAAAGUGAGACCGUUAAUAACGACCAAAAUCUCCUUACAAAGAAUAUUAAGUCGAAACGGGUUUCAAACUCGUGGCCUUCCAUCGUCGUGGUUUGAUCCAAUAUUAUAGUGGUUAACUAACUGGUUAUAGAUACAUAGGGGUUAAUUACCAUUUAUAAUAUUGGACCACUCUAUUAUGCAUAUGAUGCUGUGGGGUUGGAGCCAAAUGAUUUCUAAUAACUGUCAGGUGAGGGAAUCAUUUGUGUUUUCAAUAGUUGCAUGAGACGAUGGGCUAGAUUUAACUAUGAUCAUGAUGCCAAUAACUGUUAGGUGAGGCUUUCAUGGUCUAGAGGCCGAAGUUAUGAUUGGACUCGCAUAUGAUGCGUUGAACAAGCUGGUUCACUCACUAAGUUCAUAGGACACCAAUAACUGUUAGGUGAGGUGAACUUUGGGCUAGUGGGACUCUAAUCCCCACCAGUAAUCUUUACCCAACAAAGAUUACCGCUUCCCAUCUUAAGGAGUAUGGGAUUCGAAUAUAAAUUUAGUGGGAGGAUCUAUUUCAUUUAAAGGCCAAAAUGAAAUAGUUGCUUUGAAAGAUACAACGGCUAACAAUUUAUUUUCUGCAACAGAUAUAUUAUUACUCUGAAAAUGGUGACCACAAACCUACUCGCUUCUAUACUUGACAAGAAUUGUUUGACUGGACCCGAUUUCAUUGACUGGGUGAGGAAUUUGAGAAUUGUUCUCAAUUCAGAAAAAAAUUGGGUAUGUGCUUGAUGAAAAGAGGCCAACCUCCUUUCCUGAGGGUGGGACCCAAGAGGAGCCUGUCACUUAUGAUAAGUGGCGUGAUGAUGACUUAAAAGUUAGGUCAUAUAUGCUUGCUUCUAUGAAUAAUGAAUUACAGAAGAAGUAUGAAUCUAUGGAAGAUGCUGGGUCAAUCAUUUUGCACUUAAAUGAAUACUUUGAUGAGAAUGGUCGAACCUCUAGAUAUGAGAUAUCUAAGGCAUUGCACCGUAUGAGGAUGGCUGAAGGAUCAUCUGUUAAUGAUCAUGCUUUGAAAAUGAUUUGGCACAUUGAAGAAUUGGCUAGGCUGAAUCUCGUUAUGGACAAUGAAUUAGCUGUGGAUUUGAUCCUCCAAUCUUUACCUGAUUCCUUCUCUGGUUUUGUCCAAAACUUCCACAUGCAUAAGAUGGAGAAAACUCUUGCUGAGUUACAUAGCAUGCUGGUAGUUUAUGAGAAUGAAAUGUAUAACACGAGGCCAAAUGUAGUGGCUAUGGCUAAGGCUUCUUCUUCAAAGGGUAAGACUAUUUUAAAGAAGAAUAAAUGGAAGAGGCCUGCCAAACCUGUUGUGCAACCAAAACCCAUCAUUGAUAAAUGGAAAUGUCAUUACUGUGGUGUCAAAGGGCACUGGAGGAAGAACUGUNNNNNNNNNNNNNNNNNNNNNNNNNNNNNNNNNNNNNNNNNNNNNNNNNNNNNNNNNNNNNNNNNNNNNNNNNNNNNNNNNNNNNNNNNNNNNNNNNNNNGAGCACCUUCGUUUUCCCAAGAACCAACCUUAUGAAGAUAUGGUGUCUAUACUUAUUGAAACCAAUCUUAUGGUUAGUGCUGAAUCCAGCUCAUGGAUUCUAGAUUCUGCUACAACUUCACAUAUUUGUAUGUCUUUGCAGAAUCUGGAAAUAAGCAGGAUGCUAGGGCGAAAUGAGAUUGUCCUGACGUUUGCCAAUGGAGCAAGAGUUGCUGCAUUAGCUAUAGGGACUUUUCAUUUAUGUUUGCCUUUUGGACAUGUAAUGUUUUUAAAGAACUGUUUGCAUUAUAAGAAUGCUGUUAGGAACAUCAUCUCUAUACCUCGUUUGGGUAAAGAGAAUUAUGAAUUUUCUUUUGCUGAUGAUGUAUGUUCUAUUUAUCAUAAUAGAAUAUGUGUUGGUUCUAGCUUAUUAACCAACAAUCUUUAUACCAUUACAAUGUCCGGUAAUGCGAUUACCAAUGUCAAUAAGCAAAAUAGAAUUGAUAUAAAUGCCAUAACUAAUAAACGCCCUAGAGACGGUCCAAAUAAAAAAUAUGUUUGGCAUCUCCAAUUAGGUCAUAUUGGAGAAGAUAGAAUUAACAAAUUGAGUAAUGAUGGAUACAUUGAUCCUUCAAAUUUUGAGUCAUACUCAACUUGUGAGGCUUGUCUUCUAGGAAAAAUGACCAAAGCGCCUUUUGUGGGACAAAGUGCGCGAGCUGUUAACUUAUUAGAAUUAAUACAUACAGAUGUAUGUGGACCAAUUAAUGAAACUGCUAGAGGUGGUUAUAAUUACUUCAUUACCUUCACCGAUGAUCAGUCACGGUAUGGUUAUUUAUAUCUCAUGAAGUAUAAAUCUGAAUCCUUUGAAAAGUUCAAGGAAUUCAAGGCUGAAGUUGAGAAACAAACAGGAAAAUGUAUUAAGGCUCUUCGAUUAGAUCGAGGAGGUGAAUACCUUAGUACUGAAUUCCUGGACUUUCUUAAAGAGAAUGACAUUUUAUCAUAAUGGACACCUCCUGGAACUUCAGAAUAUAAUAGUGUAUCUGAACGAAGAAAUCGUACUUUAUUAGAUAUGGUACGAUCUAUGAUGAGUUACACCGAUUUGCCAAUAUCCCUUUGGGGAUAUGCCCUUGAGACAACUGUAUAUAUACUGAAUAGAGUGCCGUCCAAAUCUGUUCCAACUAUGCCCUAUGAGAUAUGGCAUAGUAGGAAACCUAGUCUUAGUCAUAUUAAGAUUUGGGGUUGUCCAGCUUUUGUGAAAAAGCUGAAAAUGGAAAAAUUGGAGGCAAGAUCUGAACAAGGUCGCUUCAUUGGAUAUCCAAAUGAAACUCUUGGAUAUUAUUUCUAUUUUCAUUCAGACCAAAGAAUUUUGGUAUGCAAGCACGCUUCUUUUUUGGAGAAUCAGUUCAUCCAAGAAAGUGGUGCUGGGCGGAAAAUAGUCUUACAAGAAGAAAAUAAUGAAGUAUCAAACAACCGAGUUCAGAUACCAAUCUCUGAUUCAGUGGGAGCUUCUGAUACACAACCUCUUAGGAGAAGUGCGAGAAUGUCUCGUUCACCUGCUCGUUAUAGACACUCGGUUGAUCAUAUUGAACCAUUAUUCAUUGUGAAUGAUAGUGAUCAACCCGGUGAUCCUAAAACAUAUGAGGAGGCGAUGUUGGACAUCGAUUCUGGUAAAUGGCUAGAAGCCAUGAAAUCCGAAAUGGAUUCAAUGUAUUCCAAUGAGGUAUGGACCUUGACUGACCUGCCUGAUAGUAUUGUACCAAUUGGCUGUAAAUGGAUCUUCAAGAGGAAGAUGAAUGUUGAAGGUCAAAUUGGAAUUUACAAAGCACAGCUGAUGAUGAAAGGAUAUCAUCAAAAAGAAGGAAUUGAUUAUGACGAAACUUUCUCACCUGUGGCCAUGCUAAAAUCCAUUCGGAUUAUGUUGGCUAUAGCUGCACACCUUGAUUAUGAGAUAUUCCAGAUGGAUGUCAAAACGGCUUUUUUAAAUGGUUUUCUCGAUGAGGACAUCUAUAUGGAACAGCCACAGGGUUUUGAAUCAAAUAGUGAAAAACAGAAGGUGUGUAAGCUUAAGAGAUCCAUUUAUGGACUCAAACAAGCCUCCAGAAGUUGGAACAUCCGUUUUGAUGAGGUAGUCAAAUCGUUUGGCUUUAUAAAAAAUCCGGAUGAACCUUGUGUAUAUAAGAAGAUCAGUGGGAGUGCAAUUGCAUUUCUGGUUUUGUAUGUCGAUGAUAUACUUUUGAUUGGAAAUGAUGUACCAAUGAUAUCAUCGAUAAAACUAUUCUUGUCACGGAAAUUCUCCAUGAAAGAUUUAGGAGAGGCAACCUACAUUUUAGGUAUCAAGAUCUAUAGAGAUAGAUCAAGACGAUUGAUUGGCCUCUCACAAUCUACGUACAUAGACAAAGUGUUAACACGGUUUAACAUACAAUGUUCCAAGAGAGGAUUAUUGCCUUUUAGGUAAGGGAUCUGUCUUUCUAAGGAGAUGUGUCCCAACACUCCUGAAGAAAGAGAGCGGAUGGCAAAGAUACCAUAUGCAUCCGCUAUUGGAAGCAUAAUGUAUGCUAUGCUAUGUACUAGACCUGAUAUUGCGCAUGCUGUAAGUAUUACUAGCAGAUAUCAGUCUGAUCCAGGAGAAGAGCAUUGGAUAGCAGUCAAGAAUAUUCUUAAGUACUUGCGAAGGACUAAAGAUUUAUUCUUGAUAUAUGGAGAAGGAGAAUUUAAAAUUGUAGCUUAUACUGAUUCUGAUUUUCAAUCGGAUCCUAAUGAUUAUAAGUCUACAUCUGGGUUUGUCUUUACAUUCAAUGGUGGUGCAGUUAGUUAAAAAAGUUCCAAACAAAGUAUAACUGCCGAUUCUACCACUGAGGCAGAGUAUGUAGCUGCUUCUGAAGUAGCAAAGGAAGCCGCUUGGAUGAAGAAGUUUAUUACUGAACUUGGAGUCGUUCCUUUAAUUGAGCAACCGAUCACAUUGUUUUGUGACAACAAUGGGGCGAUAGCUCAAGCUAAGGAACCAAGGUCUCACCAAAAGUCCAAGCACAUCGAGAGACGCUUCCAUCUCAUCAGAGAAAUUGUUGGGAGAGGUGAUAUCGCCUUGCAGAAAAUUGCCUCAGCAGAAAACGUGGCAGAUCCCUUCACUAAGGCCUUAAGGUCUUCUUUUGAAAGACAUAUUGACAAAAUGGGUUUGAGGUACCAGACAAGUUGGCUUUAGUGCAAGUGGAAGAUUGUUGGAUGUAUGCCCUAAAGCUACUAUGUAAUGGUUACAUAUUGGGGAUUUCAGUUGUACUUUCAUUAUUAUUAUUUAAUUAAUGACAAUGACAUAUUCAUUCAUUUGUCCAAUUAUUUUAUAUUGAUAAAUGAUUCCAUAAGAUCAGUUGCAACUAGACUUAUUCUUGAGACGUCAAGAAUAUAUGUGACUGGUUCAUAGUUAGACUGAAUCUUUAAAUUGUUCCCGGUCGAUGGAUUAUUGAGUGGAUAUUAAUAAUCCUGUUGAGGCCGGUGUGUUCUUAACUUCGUCAUUAAGUAUUGGAUACUUAAGGGAAUGAUGAGUUACAUGUCAUUGGGUAUUAUGAUGCCUGAGUUAGAACACAGGUGUUUGUAUUAGACAAAUUCACUGAACGUGACGCAUAUGGAACGAUUAGCGACAUGGAAGCUUUUAGCGUGGUCAAUGUCUAAUUGUUCAUGCUUUGGUCUUGUGUAAAUAAUCCUUAGACCUGAGGCACAGUGUUAACUUGUGUAUUGAACAACUAUGGUUCACAGGUGCACAUAAUGCCGGGUCAUUGAUCCGUCUUUAUACCUGAUGGUCAUAAUUUGUUCAUAUAUGAAGUUACACGUGUGCGCAAUAUGAAAUCUGUCUCCUUGUUAUAUGCAAGGUAUGAUAAUGAUGUCCUAUGCAAUCUAAUUGUGACAAUGCAUUGAAAUCCUCGGCCGGGGUUGUAACUGAGAAUAAAUUGUUUAUGUCUCGAAUAAAAUGCAUGUCAAUUAGAUUUGUGCAUAUGAUCGAAUUAAUGACUUGACAAAUAUUUCAUGGUCUUUGUUUGAUCAGGACAUAGUAAGACAGAGAGAUUGAAUUACACUGUAGCCAAAGCUGACAGGUUCAUUAUGUUCUUAAAGUAUUCACACUAUCUGGGUAGCCAUGACAUAUUGCUAGAUGUCAAUCGUGACUUGUAGGAUCUAAAAGAUUAACCGGGACAAUUAAUUCUUUUGGAAGUACUGAUGUGUUAGUACAAGUCUUACUACCAGCUUAGUGAUGAACCUAGGGAUGUCACACACCAUAAACAAUUAGGAUGACGUGGAACAAGAGAGAAAUAUUAUUGCAAAUGUGUUUGCAAUUACUGCAAUCGAAUUGAGUUGAUUUGAAAUUAAAUUAAAUGAGAUUUAAUUUAAUUUGUAUUAUAGUCACGAGCCUACUUGCAUAUGAUGCACACGCAUGCCCAAAGUGGAUAUAUGUUAACAUACCAAACAAGUUGGCUUUAGUGCAAGUGGGAGAUUGUUAGAUGUAUGCCCUAAAGCUGUUAUGUAAUAGUUAAAUAGUUACAUAUUAGGGAUUUCAAUUGUACAUAUAAAAUUAUGUUCUUUUUAUUUUUAAAAAGAGAAUUGAUUAAUUAAUUAAUUAUUCAUUUAAUUAAUUAAUUAUUCAUUUACUUAUUUAAUUAAUUAAUUAACUAAUUAAAAAAAUAAAUUAAAGCUUCAUGCAUGUGCACGAAUUCGUGCACAUGCACGAAGCGUAAUGGUCAGCGGUUGUUGACCAUUAUGCACGAAGCAUGGAUGGUCAGCAACCGCUGACCAUCAUGCCAAGAUCGUGCAUGAGCAACCGCUCAUGCACGAUCGUCUGCUAUGGACGAUCAACAACGGUUGUUGAUCGUCCAUUGAUGAGCAACUGUUGCUGGUCGGUUUUAUUAUAAAAGCAAUUGAGGGACGAGAGUUAAAGUGCUGCUGAAAAAUAAAAAGGAGACUUCAAGUGUUUUGUCUUCUUGUUCCGGAUCAGCUCUUCACCAUGAACAAAAAUUUGAAGUUCUGCUAGUUGUUGAAUAUUGAGUAAAAGUGUGCGUGUUCUUGUGUCUUCGAGACACGAGGAAGAAAAACAAUUCUCUCGUUCGGGCCGUGACUAUUAUACAUCAAGAAUACAACGGAUUGUUUUCACGUGAUUGCUAGCAAGAUUGAAGUAGUGAAUAUCCGAAAGUUCUCUCUUCUGUUCGACGUUCGUUAUUGGUGUGUCUGAACUAGAGGUCCGACACUUGUGGGACUCGAACUGUGGAACAUCCAAACCGACUCGUUUCAAAGCGCGCUUCGAGAGGUAUUUCGUUUAACUCCCUUUUAUGUUUAGAUUUUUGAUUAAAAUGCACGAACAACGCCUUCCGCUGCGUUCAUUUCGUUAAUUUCUCUUAUACAUGAUUCUUGAAACCCCAACAGCCUCAUCUGUUUUGCAGGGUCUCUCGCGUACAAGCCAUGUUCUUGCUUCUGAUCCUGGUCUCAGUCUUCCUCGGUUCUCAGGAAGCUUAUUCUUCAACUUCUUCUAGCCUUGAGCCUACAAACUACUUUUUCCCUUCUUUUGACCCCAGCUCUUGCACCUGCAAGGAGCUCAUUUGCAUGGGUUCGGCGAGCUUGCGAGAAAGGUAUUUGAACAUCACACUAGAGCUGGAGGAGCAGGGUAAUUCGAGCCUUGUGCCCAUGUCGACGAACUAGGUAGGGCGGGCUCUUUAUUCCUGGCCGGUCGUGGCUUGGCCUGCCAUGAUCUCUACCACAUUUGCUGUCAGGAUCACCACAUUGCCGAAUUCCAUAGCCUUUGGCAACGGGAUGGCUUUUCUUUUUGCACAGGAUAAUAGCUCCUCACCACCGGAUAGUUACGGCUCAUAUAUCUGGAUUCUUGAUCGGUCCACUCAAGGUACCUCCACCUAAUCCUUUGUUAGAUGAAUAUGAAAUCUGUGGUACUUUGCCGGAGUGUUGAUUGAAAGACAAUCUCUCUUCGAUUGAAUAUAUAUAGGUGGCGUUGUCCGACAACUGGCCGUGGAGCUGGAUACUUUCAUGAACGAGUUUGAUCCCGAUGGGAACCACGUAGGCAGACACGACAAGUGUUAUUAAUUUAGUCUAUGCUGAGAGCCUAAAUAGCACAGGAGUAAACCUAAAAAGUGGAAGGGACAUUAGAGUCAAAAUUGACUAUUAUGGCUAUAAAUAUAAUCUCAGUGACAUAUUCUGGGAAUUCGCUAGUAAGUGUUCUCAAUCAUUCGAUCAAAAUGUCGUAAACGGUCCCAGUCUUGUGUAUGUGGGCUUUUUGGGAUCUACUGGGCCUCUACCCGAAAGCCAUCAGGUCAUUAAUUGGGUAUUCAUCUCUUUUCCUUUAUCUAUGGAGGAGCGGCUCAAGAGAGACAACAGAUCAAAACUGCACUGAUUCUGGUCGUGCCAAGCGUGAUGACAGUAUUGUUGAUCGCGAUAUUCGUCUACCUACUCGUUGAGAAAGCGCCCAGGAAGAGAAACAAGAAGGACGCUGACAUAGAGAGCCAAUGGAGGUAGGUUGUGAACGUUUCAAAGAUGUUCACCUGCAAUGAGGUAGCGAAGGCCACUCACCUGCUUGGUACUGGUGGUUUUGGAAGCCUUUACAAAGGAUUGAUAUCAGAUCCUCCGGUCAAAGUAGCCGUGAAAAAGAUCUCGACAACAUCAAAAUUGGGUCUGCUUCCGUACUUGUAUCACAUCCUUUUAGCACAUUUUCUUGAACAUGGUCCUGUCGAUAAGAUCUAAACAUUACGGAAGCAUAGUGCUGGAGCGAUUCUGUAUUUCGCUUUUGUUCAUAUUCAUCACUAAUCACCACAACUGCGAAGAUCCUUUGCAAAGUUGUUCUCAAUUUCACUAUCUGCCAAUUAACUUUAAGGCAAUUUUUCAACCUCAAAUUCAACAAGUGAAAGACUAUUUGGCAGAGAUAUCCACCGUUGGAAUGAUGAGGCACAAGAACAUAGUACAGCUCCAAGGUUGGUGCCAUGAGGGGGAACGACUUCUACUAGUCUAUCAAUACAUGGCCAACAGUAACCUUGACUGCUUUAUUGGCAAGUAGUCCCUCGGCUAGGAGACCCGAUACGAGAUCCUGACUGGCCUGGCGUCGGCAUUGCUUUGCCUCCACAAAGAAUGCAGGAACCCCAUGGUCCACAAAGACGUCAAGCCCAACAACGUCAUGCUGGACUCCAACUACAAUGCCUACUUGAGUGACUUUCCUCCGGAAUGACGCCUUAGUCAUGACCAUUCUUGCGGGCACCCCCGGGUACCUGGUCUCGGAGGUGGCAUACACAGGGAAGGCCACGUUGGAGUCGGACGUGUAGAGCUUCGGGAUGGUGGUCCUGGAGGUGGUGUGCGGGAGGAGGUCAAAGGGAAUCUUGUGAGAGAACAGCUUGGUGGAUAAUGUGUGGCGUCUCUAUGAAGGGCUCACUCUUGGAGUGCGUGGAUGGGAAAAUGGGAGGCCAAUUUGAGGAGGAGCAAGUGAAGAGGGCAUUGAUAGUAGGUCUUGCUUGCCUACACCUGAACUCUGUUUAGGCCAAGAAUGCAAAAGGUGGUCCAGAUUUUCUUGAACCCGAACAAGCCACUGAUGGAGUUGCCUGAGUCCCGACCCAGAGGGGUCUAUGUGCCGGUCUCAUUCUUGGGCUUGACCACCGCCACCUUCUCCUCCAGGACCAGGUUCGCCUUCCAUCCCUCAUAGCUCGAUUCGCUGCAUGAGAUUGAACUUGAGCAUGAAUUGGGGACAUCGGGAUUGUGAUGAUGCCAUCGAGAACUAGAGACUAAAUUGGAAAAUUUCAAGCAGUUCAUGCCUGAAUUGUACGGGAUUGAGUUUUCUUUUUGAGUACUUAUUAUGUUACACAUGUUGUGCAGAAUGAAUAUUCUUAUAAAGCUAGGUGUGUUUACGUUCCUCUGUGAAAAUUACAUCCUUACAUGAGUUGUGUUUCAAGGGGAAGGCGUUGCGAGAAUCCAGGCGGGGUUACCCGAGAAACCCUGUAUAGGGUUUCCCUUGUGGCCGGGCCCCUCGUGGGGGUUCCAUUUUUAUGGAGGGGGAAUCCUCUCUCUAUCCUGUCUUUCCAAGAUGUCAAAACCUUUUAAGAUCUCGCUUAGAACCGGAAAACAUCCUUACAUGAACUAGGGAAACAAUAGACGUACAUAUUUUGACCAAAAUGAAAUUGAGCUUCAGUAUUUCAAGUCAUGAUGCCUCAUGGUGGGAAUUACGUGGAGCACACAAAGAAGAAGACCCGUUUGAAUUAGGAACAAUUUAAUAUGUCGAUUCACAUUUUUUUUUUAAAAUCAAGGCUCAAAUUAAUCUAGUGAAAGAAAAUGAUUAACACCACGAAACACCCUAAACUCAUAUACAUAUGAAAAAUUUACAUAAAAUAAUUCUUUAAUCACAAAAAAUCCUUAACUUAUUGAAAACGUGGGAAGCAGCGUGUAAAUGUGACGAAGCAGGAAACCACCCUUAGUCCAUCCUCUCCAUUUUCAAGGGCCCUUGCUAGUUCCCGAUUUUCAGGUACUAAAAAGAUUUAAAAAAAGCUAAUUGGAAAAAAGAAAAAAAGAAAAGAAGACCCUAGAGAUGGCCAUAAAAAGUCAAUUAUUUUUUAUUCUUUAUUGUAAUUUCAACUUUUUCAAAUCACGAACAAUUUCUAUUGCUGGGAUUGUCUUUGUACAUUUACAAGGCUGUUCUCGUGGAAAUUUCAAAUACUAGGCAAAUUACAAUGGCCUUUAGUUAAUUUUGCUCUGUUGAUUUCACGAAAAAUAUAGCGCUUCUAGAAGUUUUUCAUGAAAUAUUUCUUUUAGAAAAAUGACAAUGUUUUCCGGUAUUUAACUAAAAUCUGAAAAUGAAAUGGAAAAUAUUUUCCAUUAUUCAAUAAAGAAAAUUUUUUCCUUCAUUUAUUCUUUUUUCAAUAAUUUUAUUUUAUUUUUUAAAUCAAUUUUUACAUUUAUUUAUUUUUUUACAUUUUUUUCUUCUUCUUCCUCGGCCACGACAACUAACCAUAGGCUAGCUCGAGUCUUACUAUAGGCUGGCAAAGUUCCUUGCCCUAGGCCAGCAAGCUCUAGCCUCAUUAGAUCCAAUGAGAUAGGCGAGGCUUGAGCCUUGCUAACUCGUUGGAUCUAGCAAGGCCCAAGCUCGCUUGAGGUUGUCGGGCUCACUUGGGUGAGGUGAGGCUUGACUUUGCUGGAAUCUAGCAAGCUUGAGCCUCAUCGGCUUGUGGCGAGGUUUAAGCUUGCUUGUGGUUGGUUGUUGGUCGUCGUCGCUUGCGACCAACCAUGGUGGGUGACAAGUCGAAGAAGAAGGAAAAAAGAAAAAAAAAGAAUUAAAAAGAAUUAAAAAAUCAUUUAAAAAAAAGGAAAAGGUGUUGGGUGAAAGAAAAAAAAAAUACUAGGUUUAGAAGUAAAAGAAUGAGAAUGGAAAAUGUUUUACACUUUCUAAAAAGUGAAAAACAUUUUCCCAUAUUUUAGAAAAAAUUUGUUGAUGGAAAAUGUUUACCAGUUUAUAUUCCGUUCAACAAAUGCUGAAAAAUCCUAAUUUUUUUUUUCAAAAGGUUAUUUUUUUAUGAAAUAAAUGAAGUCUUAAUUAGACCAUUUUAGACUUGACUGGAGUGAAAGGCAACAUGGGUUGACUUGGACAAGCGAAAAUGUUCUCGGGCUUUAUUUGACCCACUUUGGCCUGCCCAAGCUUGAUCAAAUUUAUGUGAAAAAGAUUAUGCUUUCUGUAUAGAGCGAUUUUAGGCUUGGCUUACCCAUUUAUAAAAUCCUUUCAAUUUGCAAAGGUAAUAUUGCUCAUUAUAGAAAAGGAGAGUGCCAAGAUAUGUAAUAUGAGUUUAUUGAUUUUAUCUAACGUGUAAUAUUAUGAGUUCCAAAAAUCAUUUUUAAUUGUUUUAUUGAUUAAUCAAAUUUUGAGAACUACAAAAUUUAAAAAGUUAAAAUAAAACAGGUUUUAGGGAAUAUCACAGCACCUACCGAAAUAGAGGAAUGGGUGGAAACAAAAAAAUAGAGGAAUGGGAGAACAGUUAAUCUAGAAACUGGAUUUGCUUUCUAGAGAUCACGAAUUUGACAGCGGGCGGGAGCGAGCGUGGAGUCAUUGACGAGCGUGGUCAUAAUUGGCAGAGCAGAGUCAAGUCAUAUCUCUUUUCACACGAUAACAACCACCACCCUUUGUAAAAGCCCUAAGGUCAAACCCCUCUUUUUAUUUUAUUUUUAUUUGGCAAAUAUUUAUUUUUGUUUUGUUUUAGGUCUAUUAUAGAUGAAUUAUAAAAUAUUGCAUUUACAGGGCUUCCUAAAACAUACCAACCAACCUAAAUGGAAAAAUUUAAAAAGUUACAAGGAGUUAGAAGAAGACUUAUCCAUUUCCUCACGAGCUCCGUGAACCAUACGCAUGUGAGUCUGAUAUUCUAUAAUUGACGAUAGGUUGUGCAUGACCGAACUUAUCAUGACUGUUGAUUAGUUGAAGCUAUCAAUCCAGAUUUAGGCAAGAAUUUCUCCCCAAAUGGACCCACUGAGAUUAAAAUCGACGCCACUUUGGGCUCACGAGGCAUUUUUGUUUCUAAGAUUUUUUUUUUCGAAAUCAUUCACUUUUGGCGAAAUAAACGCAUCCUUAGAAUUUAUUUAUUUCUCAAAAAUUAAAUAAUUCAGAUUUUUUUUUUCUAAAUUUGAUCAUUUUUAUCACUUGAUAAAAUCAUUCAAUGAAAAAUACUUUUAUUAUUGACACAAUUUAUGUCCGAAGAUUGUUGUGAAUGAUGAAAAUAUUAUUUCAUAUAUUUUUAUAAGUGAUACGGAAAAUUAUUUUUUAGAAAAAUAUUUCUUUGGAUUAUUAUUUUCGUUAAAUAAAUGGAGUCUUAGCUCUCAAAUUCCUAUGAUUUUGUUGACUUUUUUUUAUUGAUGUAUUGAUCCAGCGAAAAUGUGGGCGGGCGAUGGCGAUUGCCACUUUGGGUGGGUGCCCGUUAGACCUGUUAAAUGGGUGGGUCAAGUCAUAAAUGGUCCGACUCAAAUUGACCAAUUUAACUCGUUUAUGACCAAUUUAUUACAAUGCAAAAUUUUUGACCCAUACCCGACCCGACCUAUACUCGACUCAUACCCAACACAAAUUUAAUGAACAAUUUUUAUAAUUUUAAAAAUAAUUAUGUUAAUCGAAUAUUAAUUAUUUUUUAUUUUUUAAAAUUUAAAAUUAUAUUAAUUAAUUAUUUUUUAAAAUUUAAAAUUUUAAUUAUUUUAAUUUUUUAAGAAUAUAAUUUAAGAAUAUAAUUUAAUUUUUUUUUCUUUUUUUUUUUUUCUUCUUCUUCUUUGGCCGGCUGCCAACCAUGACAACAAUUGGCGAUCGGCCACAGGCGAGCCUUGAGCUCGCCUGACGUUGGCAAGCUCGAGUCUUGCCAGACGUUGGCAAGCUUGAGUCUCGCCGGACGUUGGCAAGGCCUCCGCCUUGCUAGAUUCGGUGAGCUCGAGCUCACCCCUCGUUGGAUCUGGUGAGGCUCGAGCCUCGCCUGAUGCCAGCGAGUUCAAGUCUUGCUAGAUCUGGCAAGCUUGAGCUCGCCUGACCUUGACGAGUUCAAGUCUCGCCAGAUCGGUGAGGCCUCCGCCUUGCCAGAUUCGGUAAUUUAAAAUUUUAAUUAUUUUAAUUUUUUAAGAAUAUAAUUUAAAUUUUUUUUUCUUUUUUUUUUUCUUCUUCUUCUUUGGCCGGCUGCCAACCAUGACAACAAUUGGCGAUCGGCCACAGGCGAGCCUUGAGCUCGCCUGACGUUGGCAAGCUCGAGUCUUGCCAGACGUUGGCAAGCUUGAGUCUCGCCGGACGUUGGCAAGGCCUCCGCCUUGCUAGAUUCGGUGAGCUCGAGCUCACCCCUCGUUGGAUCUGGUGAGGCUCGAGCCUCGCCUGAUGCCAGCGAGUUCAAGUCUUGCUAGAUCUGGCAAGCUUGAGCUCGCCUGACCUUGACAAGUUCAAGUCUCGCCAGAUCGGUGAGGCCUCCGCCUUGCCAGAUUCGGUGAGCUCGAGGCUUGUUGGCCAUUGUCAUACAGCCACCAGAAGGUGGAGGAAGAAAGAAAAAGGAAAAAAAGAAAAAAAGAAAAGAAAAUUAAAAUUAAAAUAAUUAUAAAUUUGAUUUUUACAAAAAAAUAUUUUUUAAAGUUAAAGAGAGAAGAGAGAGAUUGUGAGGUUUUGGUUAAAAGUGAGUUCUAAAUCCAACUCAUUUAAGAUCCGCUUAAAACCUGCUUUUCUUAAGUCUUUGAUCGUUAAACCUAUUUAACUACUUUUUCUCAAAAACUAAGUGACCCAUAUAUGACCAAUUUAUGAUUUAAAUGGGUCAUAUAUGGGUCUAAGACUCAUUUUUCCACCUCUAGGGCCCGUGUAUCAACGUCAUUGGCGUUCAUUGUGGGACCGGCCAUGGAAUUAGGUUUGCGUAUUCAACUCAACUGAAAAUGGUGCGAGGAUCAAGACAUGGGAGAUUGGUCGGUAUAAAUUAAUUUUCAGAAACUAAUAACAAAAUUAGGCAAAAGAAAAUAUACUUCUAGCCAAAUUCAUGUUUGCAUUAACAUAUUUUAUAGUGAAUUCAUCAUCUUUAUUUUAUUGCAUGUAGAGUGGAUCUAGUUAUGUUAGCGGUAUCGAUUUUCAAUAGUAUUACUAUUUCCUAUGCUCAUAACCUGAUAAUGAUCGACCAAAACUAUUGUGAUGAUCAAAAUUAGUGCUGCAAGGUGAAAAACGACAUUCCUAGUUAAUGCUUGCAUGACUUGUUAGGGAUCUUUUACACUGCUAAUGUGUGCUCAUAUGGCUGCAAUCAUAAAUCUAUGUAUAAAAUGCAUUGAAGCAGUAGAGGUAAAUAACGUGACGUUUUGAAAUGUGAGAGAGACUUCGGGGAAUGAGCCAUCAAUCACAAUGCAUUGCGCUGGAGGGGAUGGGUUGCAUGGACAUCGUGAUGAAAAACAUCAAACCCGAUUCUUUGGAACCCGAGAAGAGGAGCCGCCGAUUGCAAGAAUGUUGUCAAUGCUAGUUUCACUUCCAUUGAUCCUCCCAUUUCUUGCCACAGUUCGUAAGGUUAAUCGUCGUAGCCACAACACCCAUGCAAUAAGUUGACCGAGGUAGUUUUCUUUUCUCGACCAAAGAUCAAGAUAGAUCAUAUCAUUAGUUUAAUCACACUUACAUACGUCUAGUGGUCAAGAUAAUUUGUGCAAGUUUUGUAAUUCAUGGGAGGGCCCAAAGGGUGUUAGAAUUGAUGUUCGGGUGAAAUUAUUUUCAUGCCCCUUUUUAUUUUAAAUUGCAUCCUUUUGAGUCCUUUUUAUAAGUACAUUCAUUUUGUCGCCUUCUACUUUUUUGGUGAAAAUAGAACCAUAACAUCAACAUUAAUGCAAGUACGUAAAGAAAGAGCUCUCCAAACAAGGUUGUCGGCAAUGCUAUCGUUGUUAAAAUGGAUAGUAUGGAUAGUAUUGACACAUGAAUUUUUUUGAUGGGUGGCCUGAAUUUUUUUUUUUUGUGACCCAGGGAACCCACCGCACGGCCAGCAGUCGGGGAGUAAACCCUGGGGAGGCACGCAAGAAACCACCACCCAUGCACCCCGGGCAAGAUAUCACGCAGCGCUUCAGCCUCCCUGCUUCGCAGGGGCUUCGAAACUGGGACCUCCAGCGUGGAGUCCAGCAACCCUACCAUCCACGCUGCAACGAUGGGUGGUUGGCCUGAAAUUUUUUUGUUAGUUAUGAAAGAUUACAAAGACUCAGGUCAACUCAACUUGACUCGGGAUUGACCCGGACCGAUAGGACCUUGAUCCGAUCCGGCAAUUAAAAAAGUGCCCCUCUCUCUUUGGCCAAAAUUCCCAUACCACAUGGACUCACGUUCCCAUCAGUCAAAGUUCUCACUAUUCACAAUGGUUGCUUGGGCGUCUAUUUCUUUUGGUCAAGUGGCGCAAGGUUGGAAAACCGUAGAGAAGACAAAGGCGUCUCUUUCACACUCGAUUGUCUUCUUGCGUUCGCUGUGGGGGCAGUUGGAAAAACGGAGCUGCCUUUGGAAUUAAAGAACUUCCACGUUCGAAAGGAGAAAAGGACAGCGUCAAGGAAAAUAGGUCUUAUUUUAUUCCAAUAAAUCUUAGAAGGAGAAGGAGAGCACGGUUUUCCCUAGGCGAAGAUUCCCUAUCCUUAUCUUGGUCGCUCUCCAUUAGCCAGCAGUAACCAGCAGUCCGCCUUUACCGGCCACUGACGAGCCUCCUUCUUAAGAGAGACCAAGAACAGAGAGCAUGGACUGAGGAGAAUUGCGGCCUUUUUCGGGCGUCCAGAAGUCGCUCCCUCGAGGAUUCUCUCCGAGCCAUUUCUUUCCUUUUCUUUGCCCAACCUCGCCAUCGCAGAUAGCCGUGUCAUCAUUGUUGGUCCAGCAAGCGCAGUAAACCCUGUUUUGCCCCUGUUUUUCGGCUGUCAAGAUCCGAAGCAACUCGUACGUGUUUGAAGCCUCAUCGCCGGCGUGCACUCUCAUCGGCAAUACUUUUCAAACUUGUAAACUUAACCAGCAUCCUCAACCGACAACUCCUCCUUGGCGAGGUAAUGUUGAACCCUCUGCCUUUCUCUGUCACGAGUGGAACGCCGAGACUCGGUUUCUUCCGUUCAUGCUCGUGUCGGAUCUGAAUAGGUUGGUUGUGUUGAUUUUCGAACAUUUCUGAGAGACUUCUUUCGAGCCUGGAUGGGAGUUCAAGUCUUGAAACGGUUGAGUACUUUUUUCCUGAAAUCCACGUUCAUUACCUGUCUCACGAAAUGCCUAUAGGAGUGUCGGGUAACGUUUUUUAUUUUUGCAAAAAAUUUUGUUUAAAAAAAUAUAUAUUUUAUUUCUACUCUCGAAAAUAAAUAUAUAAAUGUUUUUACUUCUUUGUUUCAAAUUUAUAAUAUUUUUUAUUCCGAAAAAUAAAAUAAAAAAUUGAUUGAUGUUAUCAAAUUUAUUUGUGUUAUGAAGAACAAAAAAAAUAGAAAAACAUGAUGUUACCAAAUAUGUCCUAACAAUCCAGUGCAAGUUACUUUCCUUUUUUGUCUAACUUGAGAGCAUAUUGCCCGGAAUUAAGUCACCUUAAUUGUUUUUGAAAGUCUUUCCAAUGAUUGAAUGCGUAUUUUUUUUUUUCUCAAUCAUUCGUUUUUCUCGUGUUUUAUGCUCCCGAGGUCACCGACGGCGAUCGUCGGUGAGUUGAUGAUGUUGUAUCCAUGGAUGAGUGUUUGACCAUCAUGUGCAUCUAAAAUGGUUUUGCUUACAACGUACCUUUAUAUGCUUUGUCAUGACCAUUUCGUUUAUGUGUGAACGGGGUUGAUGAUAGACGUGGGUAUUGAUGGCUGGCGAUCUGAGGGGAGACUAAGCAAUAAAUUUGGUGGUGGUUCCGUGGUGAGCAAAGGCGAUGCUUGGUUUAAAGCUUUGGAGGUGUAAAUCAUGGAUGGAUCCUAUUUCUUUUUGAGGCGAUGCUAAGGGACCACCUUCGGAGGAUUGCAACAAAAACUUACAAAAACUUUCUUUUUCCAACACAAGCGCGUGGAAAUUGCCAAGUAAAACUCAGAGCUUUCUCCCUUUCAUGGAAAAUGUAUGGUUGAGGGUCCACCGUUUAUUAUCCAAAAACUUUCUUUCUCCAACAAGUGCGCGAAAGUUGCCAAGCAAAACACAGUUUUCUCCCUCCGAUGGAAAAUGUUUGGUUGAGGGUUCACCCUCUGUUUUCCAAGCUAACGGUAUUAUUAGCAAAUCAAUUUCCUCAUUUUGUCGUUUAUUGUAAAGGGUCCCUUCUUUUUGUACUCAUAAAUGGCCAAAGGUAAUUUAUUGUAAAGGGAAUUGAUUGGCCAGUUGUACUGUUAGUUUGGAAAACAGAUGGCGAACCCUCAGCCAUAUAUUUUUCAUAUGAGGGAGAUGCUAGCAUCACCCUUUUGUAAAAUAACACGGGGUGGAGUUCUGGAAAUGGGAAGUGAGCGUGGAAGACGACGAGAAUGUAAAAUAACACGGGGUGGAGUUCUGGAAAUGGGAAGUGAGCGUGGAAGACGACGAGAACGCAAGGAAGAGGAGACUGGGUUUGGUUCUAGUUAUGAUAGGGUUGGUGAUUUUCGGGCUUGGGAAUUGGCUUGAUGGACCCAGGCUUAGAGUGGGCUUGACGCUUCCCUUUAGUAAAAAUGGGCUUACGUUCUGGUAGGUUCCAAUGGGUCUAGUUGAUUUGGGCCUAAUCUGUUUCUAGUAAAUAGGGGCUUGGUUUAUUUCUGGAGGAAAUUGGGCUUUUGAAUUUCUACUGGAGAGAUAACUAGUAAGCCCUUUUGCCUGUGGUGGCCCGUGUCCAUGUGAAGCCCAUGCCUAAUCCCACACGAGGGUAAUAAUUUUAAAGAAAGGGGAAAAAUUCACAAAAGAAAAAAAAAAAUUCAGAAAAUGGCUAGGCAUAGAAUUCUUGAUUAUGUUGUUAAAUUUUAGUGAUAUAUUUAGCUUAGUUUUGGUUGAAUAACGUAACUCUUAAUUUUUUGAGUUUUAGUAGUUACUUUUGAGAUAGCUUUGACUUAGAUAGAUCAUUCUUUUAAGUAACAACUUCAACCCAAUUGAACUUUAACUCAUGGGGCUGCUAUCCUGGCCCUUAAUAACUGUGCUAUGUGAAUUUUGUAAUUGGUGCUUCAUUGAGUAUACUUUCGGACGCUUUAUCUUUAUUGCAUUGAUAAUGAUUGUCUACUUAUUUUCGAUUGCGCACUCAUGCAUGGAUAGCAUUUAGAGGCAUAGGUUAAUUAAAAAUGGUCAAAGAUUGCUUGACUUAUUUAGGUAACAAACCAAUCAAGUUAAAAGUACCAAAAGAGCAUUGGUUAGACAAUUAGUGUAAUUAAGUAUUGGUCUUAAAUCUCUAAUUGCAUAAGAAAUAAAGUAUACUCAUAUGCUUCACUUGACUUCUAGUUGACCUCAUAGACUAGUGGUGACUCAUAUUAUGGAUAGAUCAAUUUCAAUCGUAGUUUCCUAAUGUUGAGCAAGUUAAUAGUUUGGGAAAAUCCAUGCUUAUUGAAGAUUGUUGGUUCCAAACUUGACAUUACCUCCAAACCUAUCAUCUCCUUGACAUCAAUAGAUAAUGCUAGAAUUAUAAGCUUUUUUUUUUUUGGUUUGUUCUAGUAUUUUAGACUUACUUUGUAGAAUUGUUAAAAGGAAUCUUGUCAAGUGAUUGGAUAUUACUUGGCAAAUCAUUCUUAUUAGUAAGUUUUAAUAUCUCUAGCGAGUAGUACACUAUAUGCAAUUUGAGUAAUCAGACAAUGAUGUCUUCUAUUAAUAUAUUAAUAGUCACAUAAGCAAAAAUUAUUAACGUCUAAAAACUCAUGAGUACAAUAAACCAAUGAAAAUAAUUGUCGUGAGCCCUAACUUAUAUGGAAAAAGAUAAACAAGGGAAAUGCACAAAAUGAAAAUUGAGAUGUACUAUGAUAUCAUAUUAUAAAGGAAGCAUGCCAAAUACCCUCUCAUUUUUUCACCCAAUAAACCAAUGAAAUUAAUUGUUGUAAUCCCUAACUUAUAUGGAAAAAGAUAAACAAGGGAAAUGCGCAAAAUGAAAAUUGAGAUGUACUAUGAUAUCAUAUUAUAAAGGAAGCAUGCCAAAUACCCUCCUCAUUUUUUCACCUUUUUGCUCUAUUACAACUUUCUCUCCUUUAUUUUUUUUAAAGGGAUAAGUGCACUAAAAAUUUUAAAAAUUGUUAAAAGGUGCAAUUAAAUCCUUAAAAACUUAUCAAAUUGAUGCAAUCGAGUCAUUCUAUUAAGUCCUUCUUAUUGUUUUUAGUCAAAAGCUCUAUCCUACUUGGUUAAUGUAAAAUGUUUAUUGCUAUUUUCUCUCUCCUAUGUAACGUUGACGUUACUAAAACAUGAAACAUGAAGCUAAAAUGACAUUGUUUUUAUUUCAAACCAAAUUUGAGUUAAAUUAGAUUAAAAAUAAAAAUGCCAUUUUGUUUUAUGAAAUAUGAAAAAAGAACACAAAACACAUCGACCCUUGUCGCUAUCAUUCCACCAUUACUAAAAAUGGCUGGCAAUGGUGGGGCGAUGCUCGAUUGCUCAGGUCUCUAGCUAACAUCCACUAGUUCCUAGGUCUUUAGUCCUCACCUAAGGUUGAAAUUGUUGUAGGGCACCAUUCUUUUUUUUUUUUUUCUCUCUCUCUCCUUUUUUAUGUCCCUUUUUAAAAAAUGUAACCUUUUAUUUAAAAUUUGGGUAAAAAAUAAUUAGAUUUAGACCAAAACGAUAUCACUUUAGUAUUAUGUUUUUUGUUUAGUGAUGUCAGCAUCACAUAGUAUAGAGAAAAUAGUAAACAAGUCAUGUUAGUUUUUUUUUUCCCAUUACUCAAGCUGGAUAGAGUUAAUGACAAGACUUGAUUACAUUAAUUUAUAAAUCUUUGAACUUAAUUGCACUUUUGAAAAUUUUAAGACUCAAUUGCAUUUUGGUGAUAAAUUUUAAAAUUUCAAAUAUAUUUAUCCCUUUUUUAAAAUACUGUUCCGCUUCUUAUUAAACAAAUUAUCCAAAGAACCAAAUCAGUCUCCCAUACAAACAAUAUCAACCUAGAUCUAAUAUUACCAACCACAAACUCAUAACAUAUCUCCAAAGCCCAGUCUUUUGCACCCACCAACACUUGCACUCGUCAAUCAUGGCUACCUAUCACAAGCAUUGCAGUUGUGCUCUCUAGCACAAGCCCACCGUCUCUCUCGUCUCUGCCUCUAUCUCUCUCGCAAGGACCGUGAAAGGGCAUGGUGACCUCAUGCUGGAGGGUGGUGGAGGCCGUGGAGACAGAUGACGGUUGGAAGUUGUUGGGGGUGGACGGGAGUUGGUGAAAUCAGAAUUUGUGCUAAGGAAUAAGAAACGGUUCUGUAAGUCUAGUCUGUCAACCGAUAUGAGGUAUACGGUUAGGUAUCCAACGUAAAACUUAUGGUACAAACUCUUAUUUCGAUAUUAAAAACAAAGGAUGCAAAGCGUAUUCUCUAAGCUUUGUAGUCAUUACGCCGAAGUGGUCAAUUGCGCAAUGAAGUGAAACAUGUCAUUUUCCAACGUGCAUGGACACAUUAUGCUUUGACUAGGAAAAUAAAAAUCGCAAUUGUUCUUUUGGGCUUCCAUUUCUGCUGCAUCCACUUAAAUCGAAUUGCCUCUUUAGCUUAGCACUCGUAACUUAAAUUGGAUCACCAUCUCUUGACUCAUGUCAUCACCCAACACAAAAAAAUUAGGCACUAACAAUGCCUCAUUUGGUGUUACAGGAUCUCUCAUGUCCAAACCAUGUUCUUGCUUCUGAUCCUAGUCUCACUCUUCCUCGGUUCUCAGCAAGCUUAUUCCUCAACUUCCUCUUCAAGUCUUGAGCCUACAAGUUUCUUUUUCCCUUCUUUCAACCCUGGCUCUUGCACUAGUAAAGAGCUCAUUUGCAUGGGCUCGGUAAGCUCGCGAGAUGGGUAUUUGAACAUCACGCCAGAGCAAGGUAAUUCGAGCCUUGCUUUAAUGCCGACAAACCAGGUAGGGCGGGUUCUUUAUUCCCAACCAGUGGUUGCUUGGCCUGCCAUGAUCUCCACCACGUUCACCAUCAGGAUCACCCCAUCGCUGAAUUCCACAGUCUCUGGUGACGGGAUGGCUUUCCUUUUCGCACAGGACAAAAGCCCCUCACCACCAAAUAGUACUGGCUCAUACAUGGGGAUUCUUGAUCGGUCUACUCAAGGUACUUCCACCCAAUCUUUGGUUAGAUGAAUACCAAAUCUGUGGCACUUUGUUAUAGAGUGUUGAUCAAAAAAUGAUUUCUUUUCAACUAAAUAUUUAGGUGGUGUUGUUCGACAACUAGCCGUGGAGAUGGACACUUACAUGAACGAGUUUGAUAUUGACGGGAACCACGUAGGCAUAGACACGAUGAGCACUACUAACUCAGCCGUCAACCAGAGCCUAAAGAGCACAGGAGUGAACCUAAGAAGUGGAAGGGACAUCAUGGUUGAAAUUGAAUAUGAUGGCUAUAAAAAUGAAUUCCAAAUCUCAAUAGCAUAUUCUGGGAAUUCGCUAACAAGUGUUCUCAAUUAUUCGAUCAAAAUGUCGGAAACGGUCCCUAGGCUCGUGUACGUGGGCUUUUCGGGAGGCACUGGUCCUCUUCCCGAAAGCCACAAGGUGAUUAACUGGGCAUUCAGCUCUUUUCCUUUAUCUAUGGCGGAUAAGCGGCUCAAGAGAGACAACAGGAUCAAAACCAUACUGGUUCUGGUUGUGCCAAGCGUGAUGACGGUAUUGUUCAUCAUGAUAUAUGUCUACCUCAUUAAAAGAGCACCAAGGAAGAGAGACAAGAAGGACGUCGACAUAGAGAGCCAAUCAAGGGAGGCCGCGAACAUUCCAAAAAUGUUCACCUACAAGGAGCUAGCAAAGGCCACUCGCAACUUUAGCAAGGAGAACCUGCUUGGCACUGGUGGUUUUGGAAGUGUUUACAAAGGGGUCAUCUUAGAUCCUCCGGUUGAAAUAGCCGUGAAAAAGAUCUCCGCAACCUCGAAACAAGGUUUGUUUCUUUACUUGUAUCAUGUACAGGGUCUCGUAGAUAAGAUCUAAACAUCACAGAAACAUAGUGCUGGACCAAUUUUAUAAUUGGUGUGAAUAAAGUAGAAGAGAGAAAUUCCAUAUAUAUAUAUAUAUAUAUAUAUAUAUAAUGUAUCUAGAAAAAGAGUACGUGGAGCUUAUUUAUAGGCUUGAAUAGACGAUAUGUAUAAUUAUAAUAAUUAAAGAAAAUGUCCUAAAUAUCUCUAGAAAAUACCUAAAUAUCUCUAACACUCUCCCCUCAAACAAGAGCAUAGAUAUUAAUCAAAUCCGGCUUGUUACGAGUAUAUUCUAUCCUCCCACGAUCCAGAGGUUUAAUAAAUAUGUCUGCAAGUCGUUCACCGAUCGUAAUGUGAUUUGAAAGGAUCACUCCACUCUAUAGCUUCUCUUGUAUAUAAUGAUAGCCUAAAUGUGUUGUGUUCUCUCAUGAAAUACAGGAUUGGAAGUUAUAUGUACUAGAGCCUUAUCGUCACAACAUAGGGGCAUAGGAAUUGAAGUUUUAAAGCCUAAUCUAGUCAAUAGCUACUAAAUGCACACUAAUUCACAUGUUACUUGUGUCAUGACUCUAUAUUUUGACUCAACACUUGAGCGGACAACAACACUCUAUUGCUUACUCUUCCAUGGUACUAGAUUUCCUCUAACCAAGGUACAAUAGCUAGUACUCAAUCUCCUCUUAUUUGGAGACCUUCUCUAAUCAGCAUCAAAGAAUCCUUCAACUCUACUAUGGCCAUAAUUUUGAUAAACAAUUUCUUUUUUUGGAACCUUCUUCAAGUACCUCAAAAUCCGAAUAAUUGCAUCCCAAUGAAAUGUACAACGAGCAGAUAUAAAAAUUAGCAUACCACACUAAUUGGAAAUGCAAUGUCUGGUUGAGCAAUCGCGAGAUAAUUUAGCUUGCCAACCAGAUUUUUAAUAUCUACCAGGAUUAUCAAGAGUCUCUCCUCCCUCAGCAACUGGAUUAUCUCCUUAUUCCAUUGGUGAAUCAAGAGCCUUUGAUCCCAACAUGCUUGUCUCAGUGAGCAAAUUCUGGACAAACUUUCAUUGCAAUAGAAUAAUACCUUUUUGUGACUGUGCCAUCUCAAUUUCUAGGAAAUUCUUCAAGUUGCCCAAAUCCUCAGUUUGAAAUUAUUGCUGAAAAUAGAGCUUUAUGCUAACCAAGUCAUCUCUCAUGACAAUAAUGUCAUCAACAUACAUAAUUAAGAACAACUUGCCUCCCCUUGAUUAUUUAUGAAAGGAAUGAUCAUAUCCACAUUUAGACAUUCCAAAAGAGAGGACAACUUUAGAAAAUCUUCCAAACCACUCCUAUGGGGACUACUUCAAACCAUACAAUUUUUUUAACUUGCAAACUAGUCUCCCGUACUUCCCUUAAGCAACAACCCCAAGAGGUUGCUCAAUAUACACCUCCUCAUAUGCAAGAAAGCAUUCUUGACAUCAAGUUGCAAUGAUGGCUAGUUAUAUGUGGCUACAAAAGAUAUCAAAAUACCAACAAAUGUGAACUUUGCAACACGAGAAAAAGUGUAUAAAGAGUCAACCUUAUACACCUGAGUAUACCCUUUCGCAACAAAUCUUUUUUUUAAGCAAGCAAGAGAACCACUAGGAAUGACUUUGAUAGCAUACACCCAUUGACAACUAAUAGCAAUUUUGCUUGAAGGAAGAGGUACCAAGUCUCAAGCUUGAUUAACUUGUAAGACCUUUAAUUCUUCUUUCAUAAGUAUUCUCCAGCUAGAGUUAUGUAAUGCUUCGGCUACAAACUUGAGGAUAAAAUAUUGUUCAACAGUAGAUGUAAAGGAUUGAAAGAAGGAGACAUAGAAGAGUAUGAACUAAAGUUUACAAUGGAAUGUUGAGUACAAGCACGAUACCUUUGGGAUGAACAAUAUGGGUCGGCUAAUGAUAGAUCUAGAGUUGAAGAUGACCUAGUAGUGGCAGUAGGAAGGGGGGGGGGGGAGCCAUAUCUAGUCAAGGAUGCCGAGCAUAGACCUUGAGAGAAGUUGGUUCUUGUGCAAAUAUCAGGGAAAUGGGUGGUACAAUUGACCAAAUGGUGAUCACAUGUAAAAUUUCAUCCACCUCAGAAACAGUAACUGGAACAUCGUGAUAUACAAUAGAUUCAAAGAAGGAAACAUUAGUAGUUCUAAAGUAAUUUUGAUGGAGAAUAAUAAUGGUAUCCCUUUUAAGUACGAGAAUAACAUAGAAACGUAUACUUGAUGGCUCUAGGAUUAAAUUUGAUACUCCAAGUUAAUGACCACGAAUAGAAUAGACACAAUAAAAUAUACAGGGUGGUAAGAAAAAUAAUGAUUGAUUGAGAAACGAAUUAGAAAAUGAAAUACCACCUUGCAAAAUCAAACAGAGACAUAAAGCCCACCGUCCCUCUCUUCUUUCCUUUUUUUUUCUUUUUAUUAUUAUAAAUGAAUACCACCUUGUAUAGCAUAAGAAGGCAUGUGAUUAAUGAGAUAGCAUGCAAUUAGGACAACAUCAAAAAAAGGUUUUGGGGACCUUCAUCUUAGAUAACAUGGACCCGGUGACUUCCGAUAGUGCCUAUUCUUCCUUUUAGCUACAUCAUUUUAUUGUGGUGUAUCGAAAUAGGAAGGUUCAUGGAUCAAACUAUGUUGAGUCAUAAAGUCAGAAAAGGUGCGAAAAAAAUGCUUUUAGCAUUAUCAAAAUGCAAAAUUUUAACAUGCACACCAAAGUGAAUAUGAAUUUGACGAUUUAGAAUGACUUUCCAUUAGAUAUAGCCAAGUGACUCUAGAAUAAUCACCACUAAAAGUAACAAAUAAUCACCACUAAAAGUAACAAAGUAUCUAAAACCUACCAAAUAUUUGAAUGAAUUAACGAAAAGGAGGUAUCGCUCGCUUAGUGACUUAAGGUAGGUAACUAACACGAUGCAAUUUGCCAAGUUGACAUGACUCACACUCUAAACUAAAAAGAGAUUGAAAACUAGAAUCUAAAUUUUGUAGAUUGUGCAACUAAGGAUGGCCAAGACAACAAUGGAUUUGAUGUAAGGAAGCAACACUAGAGCAUGGAAUCGAUGGAACAUUUUCAAGCACAUACAGCCCCUUACCUCAUGUCCUCUACCAAUCGUCAUCUUUGUAGCCAAAUCUUGGCAAAUACAAGAAUCAGAGUCGAAUGUCACCAAACACCGAAAGUUUUUGGUUAAUAUACCAACAGACAUAAGGUUAAUGGAAAUUGUGGGAGAUAAAUCAUUGAGAAUAAUGGCAAGAAGAAGUUGGAUGAACUACAUCAACCCCAUUACCUUGUGUAGAUGAACCAUUAGCUAAGGUAAUAGUGGAUGAUGAUGGAGUAAGAGACCAAAAAAAAAAAAAAACCUUGAAAGACCUGACAAAGGACGAGAUAUAGCUAAAACACAUGCAGUAACAUUACCUGUUUGUACCGGAAUAGUAGCGAAAGAAUUAGGUUGUGAGAUUUGAAACUAGCUGUAUCAAACAAAUUCCUCAUCAAACAUAACCACUAUGUUGCCAUCUGAAAAUUGUGGAAAAGAAGAAGAGUCAGUACUUGAUGUAGCAUUUGCAAACUAUUGUUGCGAUCCUAGUCUCCCAUGUAACUUGUAACAAGAUUUUCAAAUGCAACCAAGUUUGCCAUAUUAAUGAUAAGUCCAAACGGCCCCCGAGCUAUAAAUGGAAUUGUGGGACUAUCCAUAAAGUUGCUCUUGGCCUUGGCCUCUUCCUAUUCUUAUGCCCUAGCCACCACCAUGGCCACCGCGACCAUUAUGUCAUCCAUGAGUUCCCCUUUCACUUCCACUACCACUAUUGGUUCAAGACUAGGACAUAAGAGCUGACUAUCUACCACAAACGUGGUGUCCUUGAGAAAACUCACGAGAUACCCAAAAAACUCAAGCAAAUGUACCUAUGAGUGAGCAAUGGUCUCUCUCCUAGGAAUUAGAGAUAUGGCGGUUUCAUUGUUUGGACUGAAACCUCAUUCGAAUCCCAAUACAACCAAUUAUUCUCUUUGAAGAUGCUUUUGGUGAACAUUAGCUAAAAUCAAGAAAAGAUGAUUCAACUCCUAUACACCCUCUUAAAAUCAGCAAAAUAUUGUGCAACAGAACCCCUUCCUAUUAGAUUGGUAAAACUCUCACGAUAGCUCGUAAAUCCGUGAAAGGUUAUUUUGGUCAGAGUACAAUAUAGCCAAAUACUCCCACAAUUCUCUAAUUAUGUCAAUGUGAGUUAUGAGAUCAACUAUAUCACUCUUUAUGGAGUUCAACAUCUGACCAAGAAUUGUGAACCAACUACAUUCCAAGUUGCAUCAAUACUAGGUUUAGUCUUAGUCAAGUGUAUAGGUUAAUUUCUGCCUAUUAAAGUUAGCUUCACAAUUUUCUUCUAUUGUUGAAAGUUGGCACUAUCCUCAAGCUUUUUAUUGGUAAUUCAAUUAGAAGUAGAGGAAAUCACCUCAAUCAUCACAACAUUACUCUUCUCAAAAUCACCCAUUCUUUAAUAAAAAUAAGAAAACUACCACAAUAUUUUCCUUCAAGCAACUCAACUCAAUAGUUUAAUAAUCCAACACAAUUGAAAAAUAUCAUCAAUGGACUAUUAACAAUGUUGUCACAACACUAACAACCAAUUGAACCAACAAUGCAAACAUAGUAAUAGAGUAGUUGUAGCGUUUGAAGGUUCUUUAGGUAGAAAGUUCAUGCAUCUAUGUCAUUCCAACUGACCAAUCAUAGAGAACCAGAGCAACAAAGACCAAAUUAGGUAACCCUCCCAGAUUUCGUAUAUAUCUCACAGAGUUGAUCCUUGCAAAAUCAGUUUCCACAACCCAAUUUCCUUGAACUACCCUUGAGAUUCUAAAGGUCUCCAUCUCCAGGGACCAUGCUGAUUAACUCACCAAAUUGCGCAACAGCUUAUUGUUCACCACCCAAUGCAUUGCAUAAUGAAACAUCUCAAUCAAUACAAGCUAAAAUUGCCAUAAAAUUCCAAUCUAAUACAAUAUAGCUCGACCAUUAGACAAAAGACAUGAUCUAGGCAGCCUUGGAAGACUUCGAAAAAAUAGCAAAUAGAGGGAAACACCAAAUUGACCUCAAUGAAGCGAGAGUUAAGCUCAACAACCUAUACUCGAGUGGUGAAAAGCCAAAGAGAUGGAGUAGGCGACAUUUGACGAUUGCCAAAUCUAACCCAAGUUGGAUGGCGAUGCCAGAUCUAAGCCAGCAACUUUUUUUUAAUAAGAAUUUCUGCAACGAGCGAUGGCUCUAAUACCAUGUGAAUAAAGUGGGAGAGAAAUUCUGUUUAAUUUCAAUGUAUCUAGAAAAGAGUAUAUGGAGCUUAUUCAUGGGCUUGAAUACAUGACAAUUUAGGGAAAUUGAAUUGAAUAUGCAUAAUCAAAAUAACCAAAGGAAAUAUCUUAAAUAUCUCAAGAAAAUACCUAAAUAUAUCUAACAACUGCCAUAACUACAAAGAUCCUUUGUGAAAAAGUUCUCGAGUAUUUGUUAAUUAAUUUCAGGCAAUCUUUCAACCUCAAAUUCAACAGGUGAAAGACAGUACUUGGCAGAGAUAUGCACGAUUGGGAGGAUGAGGCAUAAGAACAUAGUGCAACUUCAAGGUUGGUGCCAUGAGGGGGAACAACUUCUGCUAGUCUACCAAUACAUGGCCAACGGUAGCCUUGAUCGCUUUAUUGGCAAGCAGUCCCUCAGCUGGGAGACCCGAUACGAGAUCCUAAUUGGUGUGGCCUCGGCACUACUCUACCUCCAUGAAGAAUGCGGGAACCCUGUGGUCCACCCAGACAUCAAGCCCAACAAUGUCAUGCUAGACGCCAACUACAAUGCCUACUUGGGUGACUUUGGGCUCGCGAGGCUGAUCCAAAGCGAUGCCUCAGCAACAACCGUGCUUGCGGGCACCCCCGGGUACCUAGCCCCCGAGGUGGCAUACUUAGGGAAGGCCACACCAGAGUCGGAUGUGUAUAGCUUUGGGAUGGUGGUCCUGGAGGUGGUGUGUGGGAAGAGGUCAAAGGGGAUUACAGAAGAGGACAACUUGGUGGAUUAUGUGUGGAGUCUCUAUGGAGAAGGCUUACUCUCGGAGUGUGUGGAUGAGCAAAUGGAAGGCCAAUUUGAUGAGGAGCAAGUGGAGAGGGCACUAAUAGUGGCCCUUGCUUGCUUGCACCCUUACUCUGCAUGCAGGCCAAAGAUGCGAAAGGUGGUCCAAAUUUUCCUGAACCCAGACGAGCCGCUGAUGGAGCUGCCCAAGUCCCGACCCAGCAUGGCCUUUGUGCCUGUCUCAUUCUCGGGCUUGACCACUUUCACCUACUCCUCCACAUCCAAGACCAAUUCUGCCUUCACUCGCUCACGACUCGGUCCACCCCCGGAGAUAGAACUUGAUCAUGAACAUGGGAUGCCGGGGUUGCAUUAAUGGUCUCAAGAAUUGAAGAUUGUAUCAGAAAAUUUCAGGUGAUUCAUAUCUGAGUCAUUUAUGAAUAAGUGUCAUACAUGAAUAAGUUUUACUCUUUAUUAUGUUACGAUGUAGUGCGGAAUGGAUACUCUUUGAAGGUAGCUGUGCUGUAUUUACUCUAUGAAUGUUAUGUUCUCAUGUGAAAUUGAGUUGGAGUUGUUCAAGUCAUGCCACCUCAUUGCAGGAGUUACACGGAGCAAACAAAGAAGAAGACCCGCUUAAAUCAGGAAUGAUAUACAUAUGUGGAUUGUAUAUUUAUGAAUUUCAAGGCUCACGACUUAGUUCACCACCAAAGAUAGAACUUGAUCAUGAACAGGGGAUGCUGGGGUUGUGUUAAUGGUCUUGAGAAUUAAAUAAUAUAUGAGAAAAUUUCACGUGAUUCAUAUCUGAGUCAUACAGAAAUGAGUUUUACUCAGUAUUAUGCUAUGAUGUAGUGCAAAAUGGAUACUAUUUGAAGCUAGCUGUGCUGUAUAUACAUUCCUCUGUGAAUAGUAUGUUCUUAUGUGAAAUUGAGCCGGAGUGGUCCAAGUAAUGCUUGCCGCCUCAUUGUAGGAGUUACAUGAUGAAGAAGAAGACCCACUUAAAUCAGGAAUGAUUUAAAUAUGUUGAUUUGUAUAUUUAUGAAAUGAAUGAGAAGUGUUUCACUUGCUCAUAGCUCAGAUCACCAUAGGAGAUAGAACUCGAUCAUAAACAGGGGAUGUCAGGGUUGCGUUAAUGGUCUUGAGAAUUAAAGAUCAUAUUGGAAAAUUUCACAUGAUUCACAUCUAAUUCAUAUAGGAAUGAGUUUUACUCUAUAUUAUGCUAUGAUGUGGUGCAUAAUGGACACUCUUUGAAGCUAGCUUGUUGUAUUUACACUCCUCUGUGAAUAUUACGUUCUUACGUGAAAUCAAGCUAGAGUGAUUCAAGUCCUAACGUCUCAUUGCAAGAGUUACAUGAAGCAUAUGAAGAAGAAGACCCACUUAAAUUAGGAACGAUUUACAUAUGUUGAUUUGUAUAUUUAUGUAUUUCAAGGCUCAAAUUAAUUUAAUGAAAGAAAAAUAAUGUGUAAAAUGAAAGAGAAGAGUUUCUGGCAAGAGAGAGAGCUUGAUUUUGCAGCUACAGGGAAGUUACAUAUGUCGAUUUGUAUAUUUAUGAAUUUCAACGCUCAAAUUAAUAUAAUGAAAGAAAAAUAAUGUGUAAAAUGAAAAAGAAGCGUUUCUAGCGAGAGAGAGAGAGAGAGAGAGAGAGCUUGGUUUUGUAGUUACAAGGAAGUCCCACAAAAAAAUAAAAGGCAAAUUGACGUGCGUUUACCGAGAGUCGAAAUCUCUCCUUUCCACGGUCGCUGCACGGCUAACGAACCAUUGGGCAGAUUAGGCUCGAGCAUCAUGGUUGAGAUAAAAGCAGAAGCAAACAUCUAAUGAAUGCAGGUAAGCAUUUAGGGCCACACCUGUGCCAACUGACACAUCACAUGAAUGGGUUGUUCCGUCUUCGCCCAAUCAAGAACAAGUCGAAAACCCGAGAUUCUUAGGUCAGCCUUGGGUACUCCACACUGGAUUGCCGAGUGACAAGCGGCGAACACUCCUUUCACGACCGCAUUAGUAGUUCUCCAACUCUACAUUUGAAUCAGUCAUUGGAAGGCUUAUUAAGUGGACGGGCCUUGGCUCGCACCUAACCCUGUUGUGGAGUGCGAGUUUUGACUCCAAGGAUCAAAUGAAGCACGCCCAAUCCUGAAUCAUAUAAUGAACUUUAUGCAUCACCGACGUUCAAGAGAAAUAGAUAUAUUUCACAUCCUGAAUGAUAUUAAAGUUGAUGUUCGGGCCAUACUAUCUCACAUCCCUUUUUACUUGAAAACACACCCUUUUGGGUCUUUUCAUAAAUAUAUUCAUGUUGUUGACUUUUACUUUUUUGGUGGAAAUAGAACCAUAACAUCGAUAUAAACAUAAGUACAUAAAGAAAGAGCUCUCCAAACAAGGUUGUCGGCAAUGCUACUACUGUAAAAAUGGAGAGUGCUAGAAUUAUAGACUUAGUUUGGAGUAUUAUUAAAAAGAAUGUUGUUAGGUGAUUGGAUAUUACUAAGUAAACCAUUCUUAUUAGUAAGUUUCAAUAUCUUUUAGCCAGCAGUGCGCUAUAUGCGAUUUGAGUAAUUAGAUAGUGAUGUGGUACUUCUAUUCAUAUAAGCAAAGAUAGUAAGGCCGAUUAAAGUCUAAAAAGAGCAUGAUUACGAGCAGCCAGUGAAAUAAUAAUUGGAGUUCUUAACUUACAUAAAAAAAAAAAGAGAAGAUAAAAAGGAGAAAUGCACAAAAUGAUAAUUGAGAUGAACUAUGUGAUCCUAUAUUAAAAAGUAAAAAUACUGCAUACCCUCCUUAUUUUUUCAUUCUAUUACCACUUUUCUCUCCUUUUAGUUUUUGAAGUACAUUCUACAUCUUAAGACAAACCACAUUAUCUAAAGAACCAAAUUGCCGUCCCUUAUAGAGGGAAAAAAAAAAAUCCCCCUUUAGGGUGAGCAUAUAGAACAGCCCGAAUUGGAACCACUUGAACUGAAUCAAACCGGCUGAUUUUGGGCAGCUCUAGAGGGUGCCGGUUUGGUUCUUGAUUCCAUAAAAUUGAAAUUGGUGAUUUUUGGUCCGGUUCUCGGUUCCAAGGAGAGAACCAGACUGAACAAACCAGACCAAUUUAAAUAUAUUUUCAAAAAGUAAAGUGUAAACCCAAACUCUAAUAUCCUCUCACACCUCGCUUAUUCCAAAUGAUGAAGUAAAUCUUUGUUUCUUUCAUAUUACUGUAUUGGUUCAUCCAAGUUGCUCCUUUUGUUUCUUGCUUCUUUCUUUAUUUCACCUUUUCUUCUUUUCCUACAAAGAUUCACUAAUUUUACCUCCCUCGCUUACUCAUACUUUGUGAGUCCAUCAUUUAUAAAAAAGAAUCCACCAAAUAAUCCUCAAUUUUUCGAGCAUGCCCCACCCCCCCCCCCCCCCCCCCCCCAAAUAAGCAUGGCCCCAUCAUCUCUCAAUCUUCUUCGCAAAUUUUGGAUGAAUCCCAAACUUGAAUUGCAACAUGGCUUGGGAAUUCAAUUAAUUAAAACAGAGUGAGUUGGACUUGUUAGAGUUCCAGUUCCAUUUGUUGUAUUUGAAUGUUCCUUAGGUAGAGGUAUAAAACCUUUUUUAGAUAUACAGGAUCAAAGUUGUCAGGUCUAAUUGGAGUGACGAGUAAAAACUUUUAACCAAGAUAUAGAAUCCACUGAUUCUAUUGGAUUGCUCGGGAAACACACCGGUUUGGUCUAGUCCCAGGACUAGAUGAUUUGCUUCUUAGUUCCUAGUUCCUGAAUGAAAUUGAACCAACUCACGAACCGAUCAUCCCUAAUCCCCCUAACUCUAUGAUGUAAACUCACAUUUCGAGAAACUAUUAAUACAAAGUGAUAAUAACUUGAAAGUAGCAAAAUAUUUGUUAUUUUUUUUUUUUUAAAGAUAAGGCUAUAUUUGGCAAUUAGGAUAAAAUUCAUAAUAGGAUAAUAUCAUAUCCCGCAUUUGGUGUUUGCUUAGGACAAGAUAAAGAUGGAUAUAAGAAAGAUAUAGCCCUAAAAAAAUUAUCAUAUGAGGAGAUAGGAUAAAUAUGGAUAUGAUUUCUAAUAUUCGUAAUAGGAAAAUUAUAUUUCUUGAAUACUUUUUUUUUAAAUUAAUAAAAUUAAAAAUAUAUGUAAAUAUAAAUAAUAUUUGAAUUAUAAUAUAAAAAAAUUCAAAAAAACAAAAAAUAACAUUUUAAAAAAAAAUUAAUGUUAUUAUUUAAAAAUUCGAAUUUAAUUCUAUCUUAUAAUAUAAAUCUGAUAUAUAGAUUUAAGGCAAAAUGACAUUGUUACGUCUCAUGUUUUAGCUAUGUCAGCAUCACGUGAGAGAGAAAAUAUGAAAAGAAAAAUCACCUCAGCGUUUUUUGAUAGUCAAAUCAAAUAGAUUAAAUGAAAUGACUUGUUUGCAUUUUUUUUUAAAGUGAAACUAUCUCUAUUUAUCAUUAAGAAAGUCUGCACCUUAUUGGACUACUUCAAAAAGUGCAAGCUACUAAGAACCGGCGCCCAAAAGCUCAUCAUAUAUCUUUAGAACUUUCAAUUGACAGGUCCAUAGGAGAGAGUUAUGACCAAGUAAACAAUUAAUAUGCUGUAAAGAAGGCUCGCAAGAGAGGAGAUGAAAAUUACUUGCCCCACGCUGAAGAGGUCAAUUGCGCAAUGCAAUGAAACAUUUCAUUUUCAAACGUGCAAGGACGCCCACGCAUUAUGCUUUGACUAGGGAAAGAGAAGAACCACUUUGUGUUCUUUUGGGCUCAUAUGCAUUACCCGCAUCCAAUUAAAUCAAAAGGCCUCCUUAGCUUGUCAUUGAAUAGAUAUAUGUCCCUAUAUCUCCACGUCCUAACGAGGCAAGAGACUGCAUCUCCUUCCAAUCAUAGGUAGUCAAUUCUUCGGGGGCAAGAAAGAAACAAACCCUAAAAACGGGAUAAGUACACUCUUAGUGCCAAAAGUUGUGUAUGGCGCUCACUUUGGUACCAAAAGUUUCAAUUGGAUCACUUAAGAGCCAAAUCGGAGGAAAAACGAUCACUUUGGUGCCACCGAUGAGAGAUUCUGACCAAAAUGAUUAUGUGGCUUUUAUAUUUAAAAAAAAUCGACAUGGCUUGAGAAACGACGUCAUUUUCCGUCCGCCUUAAGAAAACGACGGCAUUUUGCCAUCCUAAAUGGAUGGCCUCACAAAAGCGAUACCACACAACUCAUUUUGGGAUUUUUAUUUUAUUUUAUUUGGAGAUUGAAAUUAGGGUUCUGAUCCUCAUCGGCUGCCGACCUACCUCUCUUGGCCGCCGUUGCUCGGCCGUCGACCUAGCUCGCUUGGCCACUAUCACUCAGCGACGUGAGGUUCACACUUGAGCGAGAUCACAGCCUUCGACUUGGCUGCCGAGUGGCUGUCAUCGGGGUCGGGGUCGGAACCGUGGCCGCCGAGCAUGGGGGCCGUCGAGGAUGGUGACUGGCCCAUCACCAGCGGAGGUGGAGGUGAGGGAUGUGGGCGGUUGAAGGGGGAGGAGGAGGGAAAAUCAUCGUAAUUUUUAAAACAACACCAGGGAGUGGCCAAGAUUAUCUGAUAGGUCGAAUCGGAACCGGUUGUCGUUGAUGAAAAUGGCGUCCAGAUCCUUGUCGAAGAGCUCCCGUGGGACCGACCCGUCGAACUCGUUGAACUAGAGGUCCAAGAACUUUAGUGCCGGGAGCUCUAGCACGACCCUCGGGAACUUCUCGGCGAACUGGUUGUUGCUCAGAUCCAGCUCGAAGAGUCGCUUUAGGUUUCAGAACUUCUGCGGCACACUCGGUUGGAGUUGAGGUGGAAGAGCGCGAGGUCGGCGAGGAAGCCGAGCUCCUCGGGGAGGUACCCGACGAUGUCGCCAUGGUUGAGGUCGAUGCCAGUGACGAUGCGGAUGUUGAGGUUGUCGGGGGCGAGGAAGCAUAAGACAUUAGAGUAGCUGCAGAUGUCGAGGUCGACCCAGUUGGCGGUGAAGUUGUUGGGGUCGAAAAGGAUGGCCUGCUUUAGGGCUUGGAGGGCGACAUAGGCGUUGCGGAGGUGUGGGUUCUCAAAGGAGGCGGAGGGGUCGACGGUGACUUGCUCGCCGCGAUUGCUGAACUCGUUGAGGUAGUGGAGGAGGUGGCGAUGCUUGGCGGCGCCAUGGGCGAUGGCGGAGAGGACAGUAAGGGAGGAGAGGAGGAUGAAGAGGGCAGUGGUGGUUGAGAUUGUCCAGCAAAUUUAGGGUUUAGGAUUUUGAAUUGGGGGAGAGACACCAAACGGCAUCAUUUUGUUGUUUAAAUGCUAACUGUACUCUCUGGCGAGCCACAUUAGCUUCAAAAAUAAAUAAAAAAGUACUAUGUCGGAUUUCUGGCCAACCGGAUCGGUAUUGGCACUAAAAUGAUUUGAUUGAAACUUUUGGCACAAAAGUGAGCGCUAUACACAACUUUAAUACUGAUAGUGUACUUAUCCUCCCAAAAAACACUGAUAGUGUACUUAUCCUCCCAAAAAACUGAAUACAACCAAGAACAAGAAUUCACUUCUUUCCCAUCCCGCCAAUCCAUGGCCCUCGUAACUUCGAUUGGAUCCCCAUCUCGACUCAUGUCACAACCCAAGAGGACAAAUUAGGAAGCAAACCUGCGAACCGUUCUAUAUAUGUGCCAACACUGCCUCAUCUGUUUUACAGGGUCUCUCGCAUACGAACCAUGUUCUUGCUUCUGAUCUUGGUCUCGAUCUUCAUCGGUUCUCGGGAAGUUUAUUCUUCGACUUCUUCUUCUAGUCUUGAGCCUACAAAUUUCUUUUUCCCUUCUUUUGACCUCAGCUCUUGCACCUGCGAGGAGCUCAUUAACAUGGGUUCAGCGAGCUUGCAAGACAGGUAUUUGAACAUCACACCAGAGCUGAAGGAGUAAGGUAAUUUGAGCCUUGUGCCCAUGCCGACAAACUGGGUAGGGCGGGCUCUUUAUUCCCGGCCGGUCGUGGCUUGGCCUGCCAUGAUCUCCACCAUGUUCGCUGUCAGGAUCACCACAUUACCGAAUUCCAUAGCCUCUAGCAACGGGAUGUCUUUUCUCUUUGCACAAGAUAAUAGCUCCUCACCAUCGGACAAUUACGGCUCAUCUAUCUGGAUUUUUAAUCAGUCCACUCAAGGUACCUCCACCUAAUCCUUUGUUAGAUGAAUAUGAAAUCUGUGGUAGUUUGCCGGAGUGUUGAUUGAAAGACAAUCUCUUUUCGACUGAAUAUAUAUAGGCGGCGUUGUCCGACAACUAGCCGUGGAAAUGUAUACUUUCAUGAACAAGUUUGAUCCCAACGGGAACCACGUAGGCAUAGACACAACAAGGUUAUUAAUCCAGUCUAUGCCGAGAGCCUAAACAACAUAGGAGUGAACCUAAAAAGUGAAAGGGACAUCAAAGUCAGAAUUGACUAUGAUGGCUAUAAAUAUAAACUCCACAUCUCAUUGGCAUAUUCUGGGAAUUCGCUAAUAAGCGUUCUCAAUCAUUCAAUCAGAAUGUCGGAAACGGUCCCCAGUCUUGUGUAAGUGGGUUUUUUGGGAUCUACUGGGCCUCUACCCGAAAGCCAUCAGGUCAUUAAUUGGGUAUUCGUCUUUUUUCCUUUAUCAUUGGAGAAGCGGCUCAAGAGAGACGACAGGAUCAAAACCACACUGAUCUGGUCGUGCCAAGCGUGAUGACAGUAUUGUUCAUCGUGUUAUGCGUCUACCUACUCAUUGAGAACACGCCCAGGAAGAGAAACAAGAAGGAUGCCGACAUGGAGAGCUAAUCGAGGCAGGCUGCGAACGUUCCAAAGAUGUUCACCUACAAGGAGCUAGCGAAGGCCACUCACAACUUCAGAAAGGAGCCGGCUUGCUACUGAUGGUUUCAGAAGAGUUUACAGAGGUUUUAUCUCAGAUCCUCCGGUUGAAGUAGCCGUGAAAAAGAUCUCGGCAACCUCAAAACAAGGUCUGCUUCCAUACUUGUAUCACAUCCUUUUAGCACAUUUUCUUGAACAUGGUCCUGUUAAUAAGAUCUAAACAUCACGUAAAUAUGGUGCUGGAGCAAUUUUGUAUUUCGCUUUUGUUCAUAUUCAUCACUAGUCACCACAACUGCGAAGAUCCUGUGUGAAGAAGUUCUCGAUUUCACUAUUUGCCAAUUAACUUUAGGGUAAUUUUUCAACCUCAAAUUCAAUAGGAGAAAGAAAGUAUUUGGUAGAGAUAUGCACCAUUGGAAGGGUGAGGCACAAGAACAUAGUAUAGCUCCAACAUUGGUGCAACGAGGGGGAACAACUUCUACUAGUCUACCAAUACAUGGCUAACGGUAGCUUGGACCGCUUUAUUGGCAAGUAGUCCCUCGGCUGGGAGACCCAAUACAAGAUCCUGACUGGCCUGGCAUCAACGUUGCUCUACCUCCAUGAAGAAUGCGGGAACCCCGUGGUCCACCAAGACGUCAAGCCCAACAACGUCAUGAUGGACUCCAAGUACAAUGCCUACUUGGGUGACUUUGGUCUCGCAAGGCUGCUCCAGAACGACGCCUCAGUCACUACCAUUCUUGUGGGCACCCCAGGUACCUGGUCUCGGAGGUGGCAUACACAGGGAAGGCCACGCUGGAGCCGGCCAUGUAUAGCUUUGGGAUGGUGGUCUUGGAGGUGGUGUGUGGGAGGAGGUCAAAGGGAAUCAUGGAAGAGAACAGCUUGGUGGAUAAUAUGUGGAGUCUCUACUAAGGAGGCUCACUCUUGGAGUGCGUGGAUGGGAAAAUGGGAGGCCAAUCUGAGGAGGAGCAAGUGAAGGGGGCAUUGAUAGUAGGUAUUGCUUGGCUGCACCUAUACUCUGCGUUUAGGCCAAGGAUUCAAAAGGUGGUCCAGAACCUGAACAAGCCACUGAUGGAGUUGCCCGAGUCCUGACCAGCGGGGUACCGGUCUCAUUCUCGAGCUUGACCACCAUCGGCUUCUCCUCCAGGACCAGGUCCGCCUUCCAUCCCUCACAGCUCAAUUCACUGCAUGAGAUUGAACUUGAGCAUGAAUUGGGGAUGCCGGAGUUGUGAUGAUGCCAUCGAGAACUAGAGAUUGAAUUGGAAAACUUCGACCAGUUCGUGUUUGAAUUGUACAAGAUUGAGUUUUCUUUUUGAGUACUUGUUAUGUUACACAUGUUGUGCAGAAUGAAUAUUCUUAUAAAGCUAGGUGUGUUUACGUUCCUCUGUGAAUAUUACAUCCUUACAUGAACUGGGGAAACGACAGACGUACAUUGUUUGACCAAAAUGAAAUCGAACUUCAGUAUUUCAAGUCAUGACGCCUCAUGGCAGGAGUUACAUGGAGCACACAAAGAAGAAGACUCAUUUGAAUUAGGAACAAUUUACAUAUGUUGAUUCGCAUUUAAAAAUAUAAAAUAAAAAUCAAGGCUCAAAUUAAUCUAGUGAAAGAAAAUGAUUAACACCAUGAAACACCCUAAACUGACAUACAUAUGAUAAAUUUACAUAAAAUAAUUUUUUAAUCACAAAAAAAUCCCUAACUUAUUAAAAACGUGGAAAGCAACGUGUAAAUGUAACGUAGCGGGAAAAAGUCCAACACCAGUUGUUCCUAUUGGGAAAUCACCCUUGGUUUGUUGGCUGGGUCCACCUUCAUGUGGAGUCUAUCUAGCAUUAAAAAAAAGAAAAAAAAAAAGAAAAGAACGAAAAGAAGUGGAAGUGGUGAUGUGCGUGUGUGUCCAAAAAGUGAAGAAAACAGAGAAAACAAAAACUGCAAAAGCAAGGGGGAAGAGAAGAAAAGAAGAGGGCUGCAACUUUGCAACUUUGGUUCGAAGGCCAAAUAUUGACGGAAUUGGCUCAAAUUUCAGUAUGUUGUUCGUGAGAUCGAGGGCUACAAGUUGAUGAUUUUUGUUCGUCAAGAACCGUCCCCGAAUUCUCCAGUUGCGGUUAAGGUUUUUUUGCUCAAAACUUGUUUAUUUACCUAUGUGGUGAGAAAAUGAUGAUUGUAAAGUUGAUAUUGAACCUCUAGUGUGUGAUUAGAGAAUAAUACUUUGUGUAUCAUACUAUUCUUGGUGAUUAGUGGAUGUUUUUGGGUGGUCCGUGGUUUUUCCCGCAUCAGGUUUUCUAUGUUAAAUCCUUGGUGUCAUUAUUUGCUUUGUCUAUUUAUUAUUUUAGCAUUAUAUUUGCAUAUUGUGAGGCUAUACAUUGCUGGUUGUUGUUGGAAGUUAAGAGAAUUUUAUUUGAUUUAGUUUCUGGGAAAAAUUGAUCCUGGAUUGCAUUUGGCCGUGGUGAAUUAUUGUACCCGAGUUCUCCCCAACAUGGUCCAUCCCCUCCAUUCUCAAAGGCCCUUGAAAGGCCCCCCCCCCCCCCCCCCUCGGGUCGGUUUUUAGGUACUAAUAGGAUUUAAAAAAGCUAAUUGGAAAAAAUUAAAGAGAAAAGAAGACUCUAGAGAUGAUCAUAAAAAGUCAAUUGUUUUUUUCUUCUUUAUUGUUAUUUCAACUUUUUCGAGAUCACAAACAAUGUCUAUUGCCAAGAUUGUCUUAGUGCAUUUACAAGGUUGUUCUCAUGGAAAUUUCAAUACUGGGCAAAUUACAAUGGCCUUUCAAGUUAAUUUUAGGCUCUAUUCAUUUCACAAAAAAUAUAACAUUUUUGGAAAAUGUUUUCUACGAAAUGUUUCUUUUAGAAAAAUGACAAUAUUUUCUGAUGUUCAAUUGAAAUCUAAAAAUAAAGUGGAAAAAUAUUUUCUGCUGUUCAAUAAAGAAAAUGUUUUCCUUCAUGUAUUCCUUUUAAAUAAUUUUUUUAUUUUAUCUUUUUAAAUCAAUUUUAAGUUCUUUUUCUUUUCUUUCUCUUUUUUCUUCUUCUUCCUCGGCCCCGAUGACUGGCCACAGGCUAGCUCAAGUCUCACUACAGGUUGACAAAGCUCCUCGCCUAAGGCUAGGAAGCUCUAGCCUCACCAAAUCCAACGAGAUAGGUGAGGCUUGAGCCUUGCUAGCUUGCUGGAUCUAGCAAGGCCCGAGCUCACUUGAGGUUGUCAGGCUCACCUGGGUGAGGAGAGGCUCGUCCUCAUUGGAAUCUAGUGAGCUCGAGCUUUGUCGGCUUGUGGCGAGGCUUGAGCUCGCCUGUAGUUAGUUGCUAGCCGUCAUGGCUUCGACCAGCCACGGUUGGCGACCAGUCAAAGAAGAAAAAAUUAAAAAUUAAAAUGAAUUUUAAAAUGAAUUUUUUAUAAAAGAAAAAUAAAAGGCAAAGGUGUUGAGUGAAAAAAAAAAAAAACUAGGUUUAGAAGUAAAGAGAGAGGAUGGAAAAUGUUUUUCACUUUAGUGAAAAAUAUUUUCCCAUAUUUUAGAAAAAUUUUGUUGGUGGAAAAUGCUUACCAGUUCAUAUUCCGUCAAUCAAAUGUCGAAAAAUCCUAAAAAUAUUUUCAAAAAGGUUAUUUUUUAUGAAACGAUUAAAGUCUUAAUUAGGCCGUUUUAGACCUGACCGGAGUGAAUGGCAAGAUGGGUUGACUUGGACAAACGAAAAUGUUCUCAGACAUUAUUUGACCCAUUUUGGCCCAAGCUUGAUCGAAUUUAUAUGAAAAAAUUUAUACUCUCUGUAUGGAGCAAUUUUAGGCUUGACUUACCCAUUGAUAAAAUCCUCUCAAUUUUCAAAGGUAAUAUUGCUCAUUAUAGAAAAGAAGGGUGCCAAGAUAUGUAAUAUGAGUUUAUUGAUUUUAUCUAAUGUGAAAUAUUUUGAGUCCCAAAAAUCUUUUCUAAUCGGUUUAUUGAGUAAUCAAAUUUUAAGAACUACAAAAUCUAAAAAGUCAAAAUAAAACAUGUCUUAGGUAAUAUUACAGCGCCUACCGAAAUAGAGGAAUGGGAGAACUGUUAACCUAGGAGCUGGAUUUGCUUUCUAGGGAUCACGAAUUUGAUAGCGGGCGGGAGCGAGCGUGGUCAUAAUUGGCGGAACAGAGUCAAGUCGUAUCUCUUUUCACAUGAUAACAACCACCACCCUUUGGAAAAGCCCUAAGGUCAAACCCCUCUUUGUCUUUUUUUUGGAAAAUAUUUAUUUUAUUUUGUUUUAGGUCUACUAUAGAUGAAUUUUAAAAUAUUGCAUUUAAAGGACUUCCUAGAACAUACCAACCUACCUAAAUGGAAAAGUUUUAAAAAUUUACAAGGAAUUAGAAGAAGACUUUUCCAUUUCCUCACAAGCUAUUACUCCGUGCACUAGAUGCAUGUGAGUCCGAUGUUCUAUAAUUGACGAUAGAUCGUGCAUGACCAAACCUAGCAUGACCGUUGAUCACAUAGAUCUCAGUUGAAUCUAUCGAUCCAAAUUUAGGCAAGAAUUUCUCCCCAGUCCAUCUAGAUUAAAAUUGACGCCACAUUGGGCUCACAAGGCAUUUUUAUUUCUAGGAAAAUUUUUUCUAAAUCAUUCACUUUUGGCAAAAUAAAUGCAUCCUUAGACUUUAUUUAUUUUCCAAAAAUUAAAUAAUUCAAAAAAUAUUUUUCUAAUAAUGAUCGUUUUUAUCACUUGAUAUAAUCAUUCAUUAAAAAUAGUUUCAUUAUCGACAUAAUUUAUGUCCGAAGAUUGUUGUGAAUGAUAAAAAUAUUUUUAUUUCAUAUAUUUUUAUAAGUGAUACGGACAAAUAUUUUUUAGAAAAAUAUUUAUUUGGAUUAUUUAUUUUUUGCUAAGUAAAUGGAGUCUCAGCUCUCAAAUUCCCAUGAUUUUGUUGACUUUUUUAUUGUUGUAUUUUUUUUUUGAACAGUUUUUAUUGUUGUAUUGAUCCAACGAAAAUGUGGGCGGGCGAUGGCGAUCGCCACUAUGGGUGGGUGCCCGUGCAUCAACGUCACCGGCGUUCAGUGUGGGACCGGCCAUGGAAUUAGGUUUGCGUAUUUAACUCAACUGAAAAUGGUGCGAGGAUCAAGACAUGGGAGGUUGGUCGGUAUACAUUAAUUUUCACAAACUAAUAACAAAAUUAGGCAAAAUAAAAUAUACUUAUAUCCAAAUUCAUGUUUGCAUUGAUAUAUUUUAUAGUGAAUUCAUCAUCUUUAUUUUAUUGCAUGUAGAGUGGAUCUAGUUAUGUUAGUAGUAUUGAUUUUCAAAAUUGUUACUAUUUCCUACGCUCGUAACCUAAUAAUAAUUGACCAAGACUAUUGUGAUGAUCAAUAGUAUUGUUGUAAGGUGAAAAACUAUGUUUCUAGUUAAUGCUUGCAUGGCUUAUUAGGGAUUUUUUAAAUUGCUAAUGUGUGCUCAUAUGGCUGCAAUCAUAAAUCUAGGUAUAAAAUGCAUUGAAGCAAUAGAACUUGUAAUUCCCGUGGUGUCUCAUUCAAACUGCGAUUGCAGAUAAUGUCAUCGACAGUAAAGGUAAACAAUGUGACGUAUCCAAACGUGAGAGAGACUUCGAGGAUGAGCUAUCGAUUGUGUUGCAUUCCACUAGAGGGGAUGGAUUGCAUGGACAUUGUGACGAAGCACAUCAACCUCGACUCUUCGGAACCCAAGAAGAGGAGCUACACCAAUUGCAAGAAUGUUGUCACUGCUAGUUUCACUUCUGUUGAUCCUCCCAUAUCUUGCCACACUUCAUAUGGUUAAUUGUUGUAGCCGACAACACCCAUGCAAUAAGCUAAUCAAUGUAGUUUUCUUUUCUCGACCAAUGAUCAAGAUAGAUCAUAUCGUUAGUUUAAUCACACUUACAUACACCCGGUAGUCAAGAUAAUUUGUGCAAGUUUUGUCAUUCAUGGGAGGGCCCAAAAAGUGUUAGAAUUGAUGUUCGGAUGAAAUUAUUUUCAUGCCCCUUUUUACUUUAUAUCGCACCCUUUUGAGUCCUUUUUAUAAGUACAUUUGUUUUGUCUACUUUUACUUUUUUGGUGGAAUAGAACCAUAGCAUCAAUAUAAAUGCAAGUACAUAAAGAAAGAUUUCUCCAAGCAAGGUUGUCGGCAAUGCUAUCGUUAUAAAAAUGGAUAGUAUUGACACUUGAAUUUUUUCGGCCGAUGCAUUAAAAUUUUUUUGUUAACUAUGAAAGUUAACAAAGACUCCAGUCAACUCAACUUGACCCGGGAUUCACCCUGCCCAUUAGGCCCGGACUGAUAUGACUUGAUCCAAUCCGGGAAUAAAACCGUGCCUCUCUCUCCUUGGCCAAAUCUCCUAUACCACAUGGACUCACGUUCCCAUUACUCAAUGUUCUCACUAUUCACAAUGGUCGCUUGGGCGUCUAUUUCUUUAGGUCAGGUGACGCAAAAUUGAAAACCCCAGAGAAGACAGAGGCGUCUCUUUCACACUCGAACGACUUCUUGCGUUGACUGUAGGGCAGUUGGAAAUAUGGAGCUGUCUUCGGAUUUAAAGAGGUUUCACGUACGAAAGGAGAAAAGGACAGCACAAGGAAAAUAGGUCUUAUUUUAUUCCAAGAUAUCUUAGAAGGAGAAGGAGAACACGGUUUUCCCUAGGCGGAUAUUCCCUAUCCUUAUCUUGGUCGCUCUCCAUUAGCCAGCAGUAACUACCAGUCCGCCAUUGCCGGCCACUGACGAGCCUCCUCUUUAAAGAAGAACAAAAGCAGAGGGCAUGGACUGAGGAGAAUUGCGGCCUUUUUCGGGCGUCCAGAAGUCGCUCCCUCCAGGAUUCUCUCCGAGCCAUUUCUUUCCUUUUCUUUGCCAAUCCUCGCCGUCGCAGGAUCGCCGUGUCGUCAUUGUUGGUUCAGCAAGCGCAGCGAACCCUGUUUUGCCCCUGUUUUUGGGCUGUCAAGAUCCGAAGCAACUCGUACGUGUUUGAAGCUUCAUGGCCGGCGUGCACUCUCAUCGGCAAUACUUUUCAAACAUGUAAACUUGACCAGCAACCGCAACCCAGAACUCCUCCUUGGUAAGGUAAUGUUGAACCCUCUGCCUUUCCCUGUCAUGAGUGGAACGCCGAGACUCGGUUUCUUCCGUUCAUGCUCGUGUCGGAUCUGAAUAGGUUAGUUGUGUUGAUUUUUGAACAUUUCUGAGAGACUUCUUUCGAGCCUGGAUGGGAGUUCAAGUCUUGAAACGGUUAAGUACUUUUUUUUCCUGAAUCCACGUUCAUAACCUGUGUGAGGAAAUGCUAUAACGUUUCUAUUUUAAGAAUAAUUUUUAUUUAAAAAUAAUUAUUUUAUAUUUCUAUUCUCGAAAAUAAAGAUAUAGGUGUUUUUUACUUCUUUGUCUCAAAUAUAUACUAUUUUUUAUUCCGAAAAAUAAAAUAAAAAAUUAAUUAAUGUUAUCAAAUUUAUUUGUGUUCUGAAGAACAAAAGAACAAAAAAAGAAAAAGAAAAAUAGGAUGUUACCAAAGAUGUCCUAACAAUCCAGUGCAAGUUAGUUUCCUUUUUUGUCUAACUCGAGAGCAUAUUGCCCCGGAUUAAGUCACCUUAAUUGUUUUUCAAAGUCUUUCUAAUGACUGAACGCGUUUUUUUUCUCCAUAAUCCGUUUUUCUUGUGUUCUAUGCUCUCGAGGUCACCAAUGGCGAUUGUUAGUGAGUUGAUGAUGUUGUAUCCGUGGAUGAGUGUUUGACCAUCAUGUGCAUCUAAACCGGUACAAUGUCCCUUUAUCUGCUUUGUCCUAACCAUUUAGUUUAUGUGUGAACGGUGUUGAUGAUAGAAGUGGAUAUUGAUGGAUGACAAGAAGGGAGAGUAAGCCGUAAAUUUGGUGGUGGUUCCGGGGUGAGCAAAGGCGAUGCUUGGUUUAAAGCUUUGGAGGUGUAAGUCAUGGAUGGAACCUUAUUUCUUUUUGAGGUGAUGCUAGCGGUCCGGAGGAUUGCAACAAAAACUUUCUUUUUCCAACACAACCGCGUGGAAAUUGCUAGGUAAAACUCAGCUUUCUCCCCUUCAUGGAAAAUGUAUGGUCGAGGGUUCACCGUUUAUCUUCCUAAAACUUUCUUUCUCCAACAAGUGCGUGAAAGUUGCCAAGCAAACACAGAGUUUUCUCCCUCUGAUGGAAAAUGUUUGGAUGAGGGUUCACCUUCUAUUAUUAGCAAAUCAAUUCCCUCAUUUUGUCGUUUAUUGUAAGGGGUCCCUUCUUUUUGUACUCAUAAAUGCUCAAAGGUAAUUUAUUGUAAAGGAAAUUGAUUGGCCGGUUGUACUGUUAGUUUGGAAAACAGAUGGCGAACCCUCAGCCAUAUAUUUUUCAUGAGAGGGAGAAAAAUUUGUAUUUUGCUUGGCAAUUUUCUCGGGAAAAAAUCGUCAGAUGGUCACAUCAUCAUGCUAGCAUCACCCUAUUGUAAGAGAACACGGGGUGGAGUUCUGGGAAUGGGAAGUGAGAGUGGAAGACGACGAGAACACAAGGAAGAGGAGACUGGGUUUGGUGAAGGUGGGCUUAAGUGAGAUUUUUGGGCUUCAAUUCGUUUGAUAUAUUUGGGCUUAGUUGUUCUAGUUAUGAUUGGGUUGGUAAUUUUCGGGCUUGGGAAUUGGGUUGAUGGAUCCAGGCUUAGAGUGGGCUUGACGCUUCCCUUUAGUAAAAAUGGGCUUGCGUUGUGGUAGGUUACAAUGGGUCUAGUUGAUUUGGGCCUAAUCUGUUUCUAGUAAAAAGGGGCUUGGUUUAUUUCUAGAGGAAAUUGGGCUUUUGAAUUUCUACUGGAGAGAGGCUUAACUAGUAAGCCCUUUUGCCUGCGGUGGCCCGUGUCCAUGUGAAGCCCAUGCCUAAUCCCACACGCGGGUAAUAAUUUUUUUUAAAAAAAAAGGGAAAACAUUCGAAAAAAAAAAAAUCAGAAAACGGCUAGGAAUAAAAUCCUUGAUUAGGUUGUUAAAUCUUAGUGAUAUAUUUAGCUUAGUUUCGGUUGGAUAACAUAACUCUUAAUUUUUCAAGUUUUAGUAGUUACUUUUGAGAUAGCUUUGACUUAGAUCAAUCUUUUAAGUAACAACUUCAACCCAAUUUGAACUUAACUCAUGGGGUUGCUAUCCUAGGCCUUAAUAACAGUGCUGUGUAUUUUGUAAUUGGUGCUUCAUUGAGUAUACUUUUGGAUGCUUUAUCUUUAUUGCAUUGAUUAUGAUUGUCUACUUAUCUUUGAUCGCGCUCAUGCAUGGAUAGCAUUUAUAGGCAUAGGUUAAUUAAAAAUGUUCAAAGAUUACGUGAAUUAUUUAGGUACCAAAAGAGCACUAGUUAGACAAUUAGUGCAAUUAAGUCUUGGUCUUAAAUCUCUGAUUGCAUAAGAAAUAAAGUAUCCUCCAUUUCACUUGACUUCUAGUCGACCUCAUAGACUAGUGGUGACUCCUAUUAUGGAUAGAUCAAUUUCAAUCGUAGUUUCCUAAUGUUGAGCAAGUUAACAGUUUGGGAAAAUCCAUGCUUAUUGAAGACUAUUGGUUCCAAACUCGACAUUACCUCCAAACCUAUCAUCUCCUUGACAUCAAUCGAUAGUGCUAGAAUUAUAAGCUUCUUUUCUUUUUUGGUUUGUGCUAGUAUUUUAGACUUACUUUGUAGAAUUGUUAAAAAGAAUAUUGUCAGGUGAUUGGAUAUUACUUGGUAAACCAUUCUUAUUAGUAAGUUUUAAUAUCUCUAGCCAGCAAUACACUAUAUGCAAUUUGAGUAAUCAGAUAGUGAUGUCUUCUAUUAAUAUGUUAAUAGUCACUUAAGCAAAAAUUGAAAGGACAAUUAAUGUCUAAAACUCAUGAGUACAAUAAACUAAUUAAAAUAAUUGGUGUAAUCCCUAACUUAUAUGGAAAAAGAUAAACAAGGGAAAUGCGCAAAAUGAAAAUUGAGAUGUACUAUAAUAUCAUAUUAUAAAGGAAGCAUGCCAAAUGCACUCCUCAUUUUUUCACCUUUUUGCUCUAUUACAACUUUCUCUCCUUUAUUUUUUUUAAGGGAUAAGUGCACUAGAAUUCUUAAAACCUUUUAAAAAGUGCAAUUAAGUCCUUAAAAACUUAUCAAAUGAUACAAUCAAGUCGUUCUAUUAAUUCCUUCUUAUUGUUUUUAGUCAAAAGCUCCAUCCUACUUGGUUAAUGUAAAAUGUUUAUUGCUAUUUUCUCUCUCCUAUGUAACGUUGACAUUACUAAAACAUAAAACAUGUAGCUAAAAUGACAUUGUUUUUUAUUUCAAACCAAAUUUGAGUUAAAUUAAAUUAAUAAUAAAAAGGCCAUUUUGUUUCUUGAAAAAAGAACACAAAACAAAUCAACCCUUGUCGCUAUCAUCCCACCAUUACUAAAAAUGGCUGGCAAUGGGGGGGGGGGGGUGAUGCCCGAUUGCUCAGGUCUCUAGCUAAUAGUCACUAGUUCCUAGGUCUUUAGUCCUCACCUAAGGUUGAAAGUGUUGCAAGGCACCAUUCUUUUUUUCUUUCUCUCCUUUUUUUAUAAAAAAAUGUAACCUUUUAUUUAAAAUUUGGCUAAAAAAGAAUUAGAUUUAGACCAAAACGAUAUCAUUUUAGUAUUAUGUUUUUUGUUUAGUGAUGUCAACAUCACGUAGUACAGAGAAAAUAGCAAACAAGUCAUGUUACUUCUUCUUUUUUCCAAUAGUCAAGUUGGAUAGAGUUAACAACAAGACUAGAUUACAUUAAUUUAUAAAUCUUCGAACUUAAUUGCACUUUUGAAAAAAUUAAGACUCAAUUGCAUUUUGGUGAUAAAUUUUAAAAUUUCAAGUAUAUUUAUCCCUUUUUUAAAAUACUGUUCUGCUUCUUAUUAAACAAAUUAUCCAAAGAACCAAAUCACUCUCCUGUAAAAAAAAAAAUAUCAACCUAGAUCUAAUAUUACCAACCACAAACUCAUAACAAAUCUCCAAAGCCUAGUCUUCUACACCCACAUACACUUGCACUCGUCGAUCAUGGAUACCUAUCACAGGCACUGCAGCUUUGCUCUCUAGCACAAGCUGCAAGCUCACCGUCUCUCUCUAUCUCUCUCUGUCUCUCUCUCGCAAGGACUGUGAAAGGGCAUGGCGACCUCAUGUCUUAGGGUGGUGAAGGCCAUGGAGACAAAUGACGGUCCAAAGUUGUUGGGGGUGGACAGGAGUUGGGGAAAUCGGAAUUUGUGCUAAGGAAUAAAAAGCGGUUCUGUAAGUCUAGUCUGUCAGCUGAUAUGAGGUAUAUGGUUAGGUAUCCAACGUAAGACUUAUGUUACAAACUCUUAUUUCGAUAUUAAAAACAAAGGAUACAAAGCAUAUUUUCUAAGCUUUGUAGUCAUUACAUCAAAGUGGUCAAUUGCGCAAUGAAGUGAAACAUGUCAUUUUCCAAUGUGCAUGGACGCAUUAUGCUUUGAUUAGGAAAAUAAAAACAGAAUUGUUCUUUUGGGCUUCUGCUUUUGCUACAUCCAUUUAAAUUGAAUUGCCUCGUUAGCUCAGCACUCGUAACUUAAAUUGCAUCACCAUCUCUUGACUCGUGUCACCACCCAACACAAAAAAUUAGGCACUAACAAUGCCUCAUAUGAUGUUACAGGGUCUCUUGUGUCCAAACCAUGUUCUUGCUUCCGAUCCUAGUCUCACUCUUCCUUGGUUCUCAGCGAGCUUAUUCCUCAACUUCCUCUUCAAGUCUUGAGCCUACAAGUUUCUUUUUCCCUUCUUUUGACCUUGGCUCUUGCACCGGUAAAAAGCUCAUUUGCAUGGGCUCAGUAAGCUCGCGAGAUGGGUAUUUGAACAUCACGCCAGAGCAAGGUAAUUCGAGCCUUGCGUCGAUGCCGACAAACCAGGUAGGGCGGGUUCUUUAUUCCCAACCAGUGGCUGCUUGGCCUGCCAUGAUCUCCACCACUUUCACCGUCAGGAUCACCCCACCGCCAAAUUCCACAGUCUCUGGUGACGGGAUGGCUUUCCUUUUCGCACAGGAUAAUAGCCCCUCACCGCCGAACAGUACUGGCUCAUACAUGGGGAUUCUUGAUCGGUCUACUCAAGGUACUUCCACCCAAGAAUAUGAAAUUUGUGGUACUUUGCUGUAGAGUGUUGAUCAAAAAAUGAUUUCUUUUCAACUGAAUAUUUAGGUGGUGUUGUUCAACAACUAGCGGUGGAGUUGGACACUUACAUGAACGAGUUUGAUAGUGACGGGAACCACAUAGGCAUAGACACGACGAGCACUACUAACUCAGUCGUUGCCCAGAGCCUAAACAGCACAGGAGUGAACCUAAGAAGUGGAAGGGACAUCACAGUCGAAAUUGAAUAUGAUGGCUAUAAAAAUGAAAUCCAAAUCUUAAUAGCAUAUUCUGGGAAUUCGCUAACAAGCGUUCUCAAUUAUUCGAUCAAAAUGUCAGAAACGGUCCCUAGGCUCGUGUAUGUGGGCUUUUCGGGAGGCACUGGUCCUCUUCCCGAAAGCCACCAGGUGAUUAAUUGGGCAUUUAGCUCUUUUCCUUUAUCUACAGCAGAAAAGCGGCUCAAGAGAGACAACAGGAUCAAAACUAUAUUGGUUUUGGUCGUGCCAAGUGUGAUGACGGUAUUGUUCAUCAUUAUAUGCGUCUACCUCAUUAAAAGAGCACCGAGGAAGAGAGACAAGAAGGACACCGACAUAGAGAGCCAAUCGAGGGUGGCUGCGAACAUUCCAAAGAUGUUCACCUACAAGGAGUUAGCAAAGGCCACUCGCAACUUCAGCAAGGAGAAUCUGCUCGGGACUGGCGGUUUCGGAAGCGUUUACAAAGGGGUGAUCUUAGAUCCUCCGGUCGAAAUAGCCGUGAAAAAGAUCUCGGCAACCUCGAAACAAGGUGUGUUUCUUAAUUGUAUUAUGUCCUUUUAGUACAUUUUUCUUGAACACGGUUCCCUAGAAAAGAUCUAAACAUUACAAAAACAUAGUGGUGAAGCAAUUUUAGCACAUUUUACUUUCAUUUUUAUUCAUCGCCAAUUGUUGUGAAUAAAGUGGGAGAGAGAUAUUCUAUAUAUUUUCAAUAUAUCUAGAAUAAAGUACUUGGAGUCUAUUUAUAGGCUUGAAUAGACGACAACCUAGGGAAAUCAAAUGGGAUAUGCAUAAUCAUAAUAAUUAAAGAAAAUGUCCUUAAUAUCUCUAGAAGAUACCUAAAUAUCUCUAAUACUCCCCCUUACGUUAGAGCAUAGAUAAUAGUCACAUCUAGCUUAUUAUAAAUAUAUUCUAUCCUCCCAUUACCUAGAGGUAUAGUAAAUAUGUCUAAAAGUUGUUCACCAGUCGUAAUGUGACUUGGAAGGAUCACUCCACUCUAUAGCUUCUCUUUUAUAUAAUGACAAUCGAUCUCAAUGUGUUUUGUUCUCUCAUGAAACAUAGGAUUGGAAGUUAUAUAUGCUGCAACCUUGUUGUCACACCACAGAGGCAUAGAAACUUAAGUUUUAAAGCCUAAUUCAAUCAAUAGCUACUAAAUCUACACUAAUUCAUGUGUCACUUGUGUCAUGACUCUAUAUUCUGAUUUAGCACUUGAGCGGACAAUAGCAUUCUAUUGCUUACUCUUCCAUGAUACCAGAUUUCCUUUAACCAAGGUACAAUAGCUAGUGGUCAAUCUCCUAUUAUCUGGAGACCUUGUCCAAUCAACAUCAGAGAAUCCUAAAACUCUGUUAUGGCCAUGAUUUUGGUAAACAAUUCAUUUCCUCAGAAUCUUCUUCAAGUGCCUCAAAAUCCAAUGAUUGCAUCCCAGUGAAAUGUACAAGGAGAAGACAAAAAUUAGUUUACCACACUAAUUGGAAAUGCAAUGUCUGGUUGAGCAAUUGUGAGAUAAUUUAGCUUGCCUACCGGUUUUUAAUUAUCUCUCAAGAUUAUCAAGAAUCUCUCUUCCCUUAGCAACCAGAUUAUCUCCUUGUUCCAUUGGUGAAUCAAGAGGUGUUGAUCCCAACAUGCCUAUCUUAGUGAGCAAAUUAUGGGCAUGCUCUCACUAUAAUAGAACAAUACCUUUUUGUGACCGUGUCACUUCAAUUUUUAGGAAAUACUUCAACUUGCCCAAGUCCUUAGUCUGAAACUAUUGCUAAGGGUAGAGCUUUAGUUCAACUAUACUAACCAAGUCAUCUCCUGUGACAAUAAUAAUAUCAUCAAUAUAUGCAAUUAAGAAUAACUUGCCUCCCCUUGAUUGUUUAUAAAAGGAGUAAUCAUUUCCAUAUCUAAACAUUCCAAAAGAAUGUUAACUUCAGAAAAUCUUCCAAACCACGCCCGUGGGGACUGCUUCAAAGCUUGCGGCUUUUUUAACUUGUAAACUAGUUUCCCAAAUGUCCCCUAAGCAACAAAUCCCAGAGGUUGCUCCAUAUACAUCUUCUCAUAUUCAAUAAAGCAUUCUCGACAUCAAGCUGAAAUAAUGGCCAGUUAUAUGUGGCUACAAGAGAGAUCAAAAUACCAACAUAUGUGAACUUGGCAAUAGGAGAAAAUGUGUUUAACUAGUCAACCCCACAGAACUGAGCAUACCCUUUCACAACAAUUCUUUCUUUUAAAUGAGCAAGAGAACCAUCGGGAAUGACUUUGAUAGCAUACACCCAUCGACAACCAAUAUCAAUGUUACCUAAAGGAAGAGGUGCCAAGUCUCAAGUUUGAUUAACUUGUAAGGCUUUUAAUUCUUCUACCAUAGCUAAUCUAUAGCCAAAGUCAUGUAAUGCCCCGGCUGCUAGCUUAAGGACAAAAUAUUGUUCAAUAGUAGAUAAAAAGGAUUGAAAGAAAAGAGACACGGAAGAGUAUGAACUAAAGUUUGCAAUAGAAUAUUAAGUACAAGCAUGAUAUCUUUGUGAUGAAGAAUAUGGGUCAGCUAAUGGCAAAUCUAGAGCUAAAGAUGACAUAGUAGUGGUGGGAGGAAGGGAGGAGCAGUAGCUACUUGAGGAUGCCGAGUAUAGACCUUGAGAGAAGUUGGUUCUUGUGUAAAUAUUAGGGAAAUUGGUGGAUCAAUUGAUCAAAUGGUGAUCACAUGUAAGAUUUCAUCCACCUCAAAAAUAGUAAUUGAAACAUCAUGAUAUGCUAUAGAUUCAAAGAAGAAAACGUAGUACGAGAAUAACAUAGAAACGUUAGAAGAAUAACAAUGGUAUCCCUUUUAAGUACGAGAAUAACAUAGAAACGUAUACUUGAUGGCCCUAGGAUCAAAUUUUAAUACUCUAGGUCAAUGACCAUGGAAAAAACAGACACAACAAAAAAUACAGGGUGGUAAAAAAAAUAAUGAUUGAUUGAGAAAAAAAUUAGAAAAUGGAAUACAACAUUGUAAAACAUAAGAAGGAAUGUGAUUAAUUAGAUAGUAUGCAAUCGGGGCAACAUAAAAAAAGAAAAAGAAAAAAGGUUUUACAAAUCAUCAUCUCAAAUAACAUGGACCUAGUGACUUCCAAUAAUGCCUAUUCUUUCUUUCAGUUACAUCAUUUUUUUGUGGUGUAUCGUAACAGGAAGAUUCACGGAUCAUACAAGGUUGAGUCAUAAAGUCAAAAAAGAUGCGAAAAAGUACUCUUAGCAUUAUCAAAACAAAAAAAUUUAACAUGUAUACCAAACUGAUUAUGAAUUUCGGAAUUAAAAGCACAAAAUAUAUAAAACAAUUCUAAAUGACUUUCCAUUAGAUGUAGCCAAGUGACUUUGGAAUAGUCAUCAACAAAAGUAACAAAGUAUCUAAAAUCUACCAAAUAUCUAAAUGAACUAACGAAAAAGGAGGCAUUACUAGCUUAAUGACUCAUGGCAAGUAACUAACACGAUGCAAUUUGCCAAGUUGACAUAACUCACACUCUAAACUAGAAAGAGAUUGCAAACUAGAAUCUAAAUUUUGUAGAUUGUGCAACCAAGGAUGGCCAAGACAACAAUGGAUUUGAUGUAAGGAAGCAACACUAGAACAUGAAAUAGAUGAAUCAUUUUCAAGCACAUACAACCCCCCACCUCAUGUCCUCUACCAAUCAUCAUCUUUGUAGCCAAAUCUUGAAAAAUACAAGAAUCAAUGUAGAGUGUCACUGAACACUGAAAGUUUUUGGUUAAUAUUCUAAUAGCCAUAAGUUUAAACAGAAAUUGUGGGAGAUAAAGCAUUGAGGAUAAUGUCAAUGAAGAAGUUGGAUGAAUUCCAUCAAGCCCCUUAACUUGUGUAGAUGAAUCAUUAGCUAGGGUUACAAUGGAUGAUGAUGGAGUAAGAGACAAAAAAAAAUAAAAUGAAAGACCUAACAAGGGACAAGAUAUAGCUAAAAGGCAUGUGGUAGUAUUACCUGUUCGUACAAGAGUAGCAGUGAAAGAAUUAGGCUGUGUUGAAACUAGUUGUAUCGAGCAAAUUCCUUAUUAGACAUAGCCAUCGCGUUGCCUUUUGAAAACUAUGGCAAAGAAGAAGAGUCGGUACUAGAUGCAACAUUUGCAAAAUGUAGUUGCUACCUUAGUCUCCCAUGUAACUUGUAACAAGAUUUUUGAAUGCGACUAGUUUUGCCACAUUAAUGACAAGUCCAAAUGGCCCUUGAGCUAUUAGUGGAAUUGUGGGACUGUCCAUAAAGCUCUUCUUGGCCUUAGCUGCUUCUUGUUCCUACGCCUUAGCCAACACCAUGGCCACCACAAGCGUUAUGUCCUCUACGUGUUCCUUUAUCACUCCCACUACCGCCACUGAUUCAAGACUAGGACACGAGAGCUAUCUACCAUAGACAUAGUGUCCUCAGAAGACUCAUGAGAUACCCAAAGAACUCAAGCAAAGGUAUUUGUGAGUGAUGCAAUAGUCUCUCUCUCCUAAGAAUUUGGAAACUCAUAGUUUCUAGUUUGGACCGAAACCUCCUUAAAUCCCAGUACAACCAACUAUUCUCUCUGAAGUUGCUUUUUCUCAGCAGUGGUUGAAAUAGGGAGAAGAUGAUUUAACUCCUCAUACAUCUUCUUAAAGUUAGCAAAGUACUGUGUAACGGAACACCCCUUCUUAUUAGAUCGGUAAAACUACUGGAAUAGCUAAUAAAUUCGUGAAAGGUUAUUUUGGCCAGAAUGCAAUAUAGCCAAAUGCUGCCAUAAUUAUUUAAUUGUGUCAACAUGAGUUACGAGAUCAACUAUAUUACUCUUCAUAGAAUUCAGCAUCUGACCAAGAAUACGUGAAUCAAUUGCAUUUUAAGUUGCAUCAAUACUAAGUUUAGGCUUAGUCAAGUGUGUAAGUUGAUUAUGUCUAUCGAAGUUAGCUUCACAAUUUUCUUUUAUUGUUGAAAGUUGGCACUAUCCUCAAGCUUCUUAUUGAUAAUUCGAUUAGAAGAAGAGGAAAUCAACUUGGUCAUCAUAGUAUUACUCUUCUCAAAAUCACCCAUUGUUUAAUAAGAAUAAGAAAAUUACCACAAUAUUUUCCUUCAAGCAACUCAACUUCAAUAAAUCAACACAACUGAGAAAUAUCAUCAAUGGACCGUCAACAAUGUUGUCACAACACUGACAACCAAUUGAACAAACAAUCCAGACAUAGGUAUAGAGUACCUGUAGCCUUCGAAGGUUCUUUAGGUAGAAAGUUCAUACAGCGAUGGUCAUUCCAACUGACCGAUCAUAGGAACAAGGGCAACAAAGACCAAAUUAGAUAACCCUCCUAGAUUUCGUAUAAAUCUCAAAGAGUCUUGCAAAGUCAAUUUUCGCAAUCCAAUUUCCUUGAAUUUACCCUUGAGAUUCCAAACAUCCCUACCUCUAGAGACCACACCAAUUAACUUCACCAAACUGUGCAAUAGCUCACCACCCACUCACCUAGUGCAUUGCAUAAUGAAACAUCUCAAUUAGUGCAAGCUAAAACUACUAGAACAUUCCAAUCUAAUCCAAUAUAGCUCGACCAUCGGACAUAAGGCCUGAUCUAGGCGGUCUUGGAAGACUUCGAAAAAAUAGCAAAUAGAGGGAAGCACCAAAUUGACCUUAGCGAAAAGUAUGAGUUAAGCCCAAGAACCUAUGCUCUAGUGGUGAAAAGCCGAAGAGAGGGAACAUGUGACAUUUGACGGCGCCAAAUUUGACCUAGGUUAGAUGGCGACGCUCGGCGACACUAGAUCUAGGCUAGCUACUUUUUUAUUUAUUUAUUUAUAAGAAUUUCUACAAUGGGUGGCAACUCUAAUUCUAGCGAAUAAAGUGGGAGAGAGAAAUUAUGUUUAAUUUUCAAAGUAUCUAGAAAAGAGUACAUGGAGUUUAUACAUGGGCUUGAAUAGAUGGCAAUCUAAUGGAAUUAAAUCGGAGAUGCAUAAUCAAAAUAAUUAAAGGAAAAAUCUUAAAUAUCUUUAGAAGAUACCUAAAUAUCUCCAACAGUUGCCACAAUUGUGAAGAUUCUCUAUGAAAAAGUUCUCUAGUAUUUGUUAAUGAACUUCAGGCAAUUUUUCAACCUCAAAUUCAACAGGUGAAAGACAAUAUUUGGCAGAGAUAUGCACAAUUGGGAGGAUGAGGCACAAGAACAUAGUGCAACUCCAAGGUUGGUGCCAUGAGGGGGAACAACUUCUAUUAGUCUACCAAUACAUGGCCAACGGUAGCCUUGACCGCUUUAUCGGCAAGUUGUCCCUCAAUUGGGAGACUCGAUAUGAGAUUUUGACUGGCAUAGCCUCAGCGCUACUCUACCUCCAUGAAGAAUGUGGGAACCCUGUGGUCCAUCGGGACAUCAAGCCCAAUAACGUCAUGCUAGACGCCAACUACAAUGCCUACUUGGGUGACUUUGGGCUUGCGAAGCUGAUCCAAAGCGACGCCUCAUCGACAACUAUGCUUGCAGGCACCCCUGGGUACCUAGCCCCGGAGGUGGCAUACUUAGGGAAGGCCACACCGGAGUCGGAUGUGUACAGCUUUGGGACGGUGGUCUUGGAGGUGGUGUGCGGGAAGAGGUCAAAGGGGAUCACAGAAGAGAUCAACUUGGUGGAUUAUGUGUGGAGUCUUUACGGAGAAGACUCGCUCCUGGAGUGUGUAGAUGAGCAAAUGGAAGGCCAAUUUGACGAGGAGCAAGUGGAGAGGGCACUGAUAGUGGGCCUUGCUUGCCUGCACCCGUACUCUGCAUGCAGGCCGAGGAUGCGAAAGGUGGUCCAGAUUUUCCUAAACCCGGAUGAGCCACUGAUGGAGUUGCCCAAGUCCCGGCCUAGCAUGGCAUUUGUGCCAGUCUCAUUCUCGGGCUUGACCACCGUUGGCUACUCCUCCAC
RNAcentral lists this long non-coding RNA (63614 nucleotides) under Eucalyptus grandis. Its description in RNAcentral is "long non-coding RNA (EGRA_LNC001518)". Lineage: Eukaryota; Viridiplantae; Streptophyta; Magnoliopsida; Myrtales; Myrtaceae. The record is from RNAcentral.